This 45742-nucleotide long non-coding RNA is filed under the name Citrus sinensis (sweet orange). RNAcentral describes it as "long non-coding RNA (CSIN_LNC004475)". The record is from RNAcentral. Lineage: Eukaryota; Viridiplantae; Streptophyta; Magnoliopsida; Sapindales; Rutaceae.
CUUACUCUGAUCUGACAGAAGAAUGGAAAUAGUAAUUACAGAAGAAACUCAUGCUAAUUAAAAACAUGGAAAAUGCUACUUGCCCCGAGUCAAACCCCGGGUCAGACCCCGAAAUUGCCCUAAACGACGUCGUUUUGUCGAUGCUUUUUUAUGUUUUGGUUCCCUAUAAAACGACACCGUUUGGCUUAGAAAAGAUAAAACCAAGGAAAACCCAACUGCUUUGUCUUCCUCUUCGUUUUACCCCUCUGCAAAAAACCCUCAUCUCUGUCAUUCACAAACCUCUUUCUUCAUCUUCUUCACAAACCCUCCUCUACUCUCACAUCGACCUCCUCCUCAGCCAUUUUCUUUCUUAUGAUGACGUAUUAGACAACACGGCCACCCAAGAAAAUUUUUGAUUGUUGUGUAUUGCAGGCAAAACAAAAUUUUCUCAUCAAUAUGGUUCUGUAGCUGGAGGUUAUGCGUGGAGAACAAACCAAAACGAUUCUCGUUUAUGGAUUCUUUUGUUUGCUCCAGCUUGUAUAUUUUUACCCUCUUGUUUCUUCGUUUUUUUUUCUUAUUUAAUAUUGCUUUAAUUUUUAUUUUGAAAGUAGCAAAGGCAAUUGUGUAGUUAUUAAUUGGUAGAAGAUGAAAGAACGAAAAUGCAGGCAACUAAGAGCUUGUAUGUUGUAAUCUUACGAAAUUGGAUCUCUUUUUUUUUCUUUUUUCUUUUUUUCUGGUGCCUGCACUCUUAUUGCUUCAUUUUGAAAAAAGAACAAUGUGUGUCUCUGUUGUUUUAAACUGGAGUUCGUUUUUGUUUACCCUUAUUAAUUAAUGUUGCAAAUGAUUUCUUGGUGACAAAUCUGAUGCUUUCGCAGCCUUAACCCAGUUAAAACGACGCCGUUUAAGCUGGGAUGAAACAAAAAAAAAAACGAAAUUGAAACGGCAUCGUUUUAUUACUUUCGGGGUUUGACCCGGGGCAAAUAGCAGAACUCUAAAAACAUUUUACCUGCCCCUACAAGGAAAAUGCUACUUUCCCCGGGUCAAAUCCCAGGUCAAACCCCGAAUUAAACCAAAACGACACCGUUUUGGUUUUUUUUUUUUGUCCUUUUUGCUUCCAUGAAACGUGGUCGUUUCAGCCAAACAAAAGCAAAUGUCUUCGUUUUUUACUUCCUCUCCUCUUCGAUUAUCCUCUUCGUUUUACCAACAGACCAACAGAGCACAAAUUGCAGAAGUCACUUGCACAUCAAUUCAUCACAAAAUGCAGAGUUUUACUAAAGAAAAAAACGAUGCCGUUUUUCUUGCCAAAUAUUUUCCAUUUCCUUCGUUCAUGGAGCUCCUGCCACCGCCAAAGCCAAAUAUUUCCCCUUUCAUUUCCUUCAUCAAUCAAGCUCCAGCCACUUGCUUCGUCGAUCGAGCUCUAGCCACAGCCAUUCGCAAAUCGCAGUCCACAAUCCGCGCCUGAAAUUGUCAUUCACAAUCCACAACUCACAACCAUGACUUCACACAGAGAACGACUCCCACAGCCUUCACGCGACAGCGAGAUCGAGCUCUUUAACAUUCGAAGAACAUAUCUGGUUGCGAAAGUUGAUUUUUAAUUUGCUUGCGAGCUGAGAUGCUUCGAAUUCUCUGUUUUUUUUUUUUUUUGUAAAUUACUAAGCCAAAAGCUUUGCAUAAGCUUCUGCUUCGGUUUUGAAGAUUGUGAAGCUGGAAAUGUUUUUUCCCUUUUUAUAAAUGGAUAAUUGAAAGUUUGAACUUUACCUUCGUACUUUCUUUUUCAUAAAUUGCUCAUGGUGCAGUCUCAUUUUGCUAGUUGAAGAAACAGUUAAGGGGGUCUGUAGUUGAGAAGAAAGAGGAAACGAAAAUGAAAAGAAAAAGCUUAAGUCUCGGUGCGUUCAAGUAGCAUUUUUUCAAUUAAAAAAUUUAAUUCUCAAAACGGCGUCGUUUUCUAAAGUUUCGGGGUUUGACCCGGGAUUUGACCCGGGGUAAAUAGCAGAACUCCCCCUACAAUCAUCCCUUCAAAACUCUCACUAGGAAUAAACCAUCUUCCCAUUAUGGCAACUCCAUUUCCCAUAAACAGAUAUGAAAUGCUCACUAAAAGAGAGACGACGUACCUGGAUUAGGAGGCCUCGGCUCCUGCCCUUGCCAUUGUCGCAGAAAACGAACCCAAGUGUAUGAAGAAGACGAGGAUUGUCGAUGCAAGUAAGAAUGUAAUCCAUGCUCUGUUGAAAAAGUUCCAAUUCAUGCCGUCUCCUCCAUCUCCAUUUGUUGCUAAAUAAGCUGUCAUGAGGUUGAAAAAGUUCCAAUAUUGAGCCUGGAAUGAUUCAUUCAUUUUCAGGGUGUGAACGAUUAUAAGAAAGCAGCAAGUUAAGGACACUAGUGUUGUCAGCAUUGUUAAUGUGUGUGAGAUCAGGAAGUGGUCACAGAUCAUGAUUAAUGAGUUUCCAUAGAAAACAAUGGCUAGAAGCAAAGCUAGUUCUGUUGCCCAUGGCUUUUGCAUAGCUGAAAUUUGGAAUGUGAAAGUGAUGGGGCAAAAAAGAUGAUGAAUGCAAUCAGAGCACUGAAAGCAUUAAUUUGUACGCAAAAUUUUGCAAGUCACGGCAGGAUAAACAUAAACGCAAGUUGGUGGCUAACUGAAUUUUUAUGAUACUAAAGAAAUGCCACUUUACAUGAGAGGCCACGUGGAAGUGGCCCAGAUUAUCAAUCAUCAGUUCCUAGUCAAUUUAGAGGGCUACAAUUAAGAAUUUUUUUUUUUUUUUAAGACAAAAACAGCAGGGUGGGCAGAGCUUAAAUUAAAGGUGAGAUACACCACCAACAAAGUGUUGGCUCCAUCGGCAAUGGAGUUCCUUUAAGUGGCUUGAUUGUGUUUGCUCUCUAGUUCGAGUCUCAGGGAAGUCGCCUUUGUUGGGAGAAUCUGUGCUUCCCGUUCGAGGGGGGACUUCUAAUCUGAGUUGUGGUACGGGCUUAAAGGUACCUCCCACAGUUGGGGUCCUCCCCAGGAUACCUCGUGAUUAAUAUCAAAAAAAAAAAAGGUGAGAUACACGAAGUUCAAAUCAAAUUUUUACCCAUUAUGUUUUCUUGGAUUCGAGUUUUGGUGGUUAAAGAAAGUUGUUUGAAAACAACUAGGUCAAGCCCCGUAAGAACAAAUAAAAAUGAAAAUUUCAAUUUACCUCUACCUUGAAUCACAAUCCUGCUGAAUAAACCCUCUAAUGUUUGCAUAUUCUAUUUGUCCUCAUCUUUUAAAUGAAAAAUGAGAGUAAAUUGAUUUUAUCAAUACUUUAAAGAUUUAAUUAAAGAUUGGUACUCUUGAUAGAGGAUAAAUUGAAAUUUACCACAAACAAACACCUAAUGAUGUUAUCUGAUGAUUUCAUUUUGAGAUUACUGGUAAAGCUAAUGGGAUGAAAGAUUAUGGUUCGCUUUUGCAAGGAAAAGCUUUCUACGAUGUGGGCAAAGACCUAGGUGAUGUAUGUACUUUUCUAAAAUUUUGAUCAUGUGAAUUAUUAUUAAAAAUAAUUUAUUAUAAGUCAAUAUUACAUAAUUAUUUUAAACACUUACUUCAAAAAUGAAUUACGUACGAGCAACAUGACUAAUUACACAACAUAAUAGUAAUAAUUUUUUAAGGCGUUUCCAUGCUAAUGUGAUGAAUAACAAAUAAAACAGAACAAAAAAUAAAACUGCUAAAUCUUUUAUUCUCUUUGUCACAUAAUAAAGAGGACAUGCUGCUAGUAUGGACAAAGCAAAAGAGGAUAUAUUGCCCUCUUUUUUUUUUUUUGGGUUAAUUGCAUUACAAAUAAAAUUAAUAUGAAAAAUCAUAAAUGAGCUUUAGGACAGGUGCAAUCUGAAUAUCUUAAAAGAAAAAAGAAAAAAAAAAAAAGGAUCGAAUCCACUUUCAAGUGUUUUAAAAGAAAAAUUUACACAAUCAAACUGUCAAUCUUAAGGACGAUGCCUUACUCUGGUCUGACAGAAGAAUGCAAAUAGUAAUUACAGAAGAAAAUCAUGCUAAUAAAAAACAUAGUAGUUUUUUAGAUAGUAAGUAUGGAUUAAUAUAUUGUGAACUUAUAAUAGUUUUUUAAAUUAAGUAUGGAUUAUUAUAGUGUAAUGGAUAUCCAAUUAGGGAACUGUGAAGGGAUUUGCUUUCUAAUAUCAUGUAAUGUCUAAUUUUACGAUUAAUGUAAUGGCUUGCACUUUAGUGUUGUAUAUGAUUCUAAGUCUUGAAAUUGAAUUCUUAACAAGUAUUGCAACAAUGAAUUCGUGAACAAGAGUAGAUAUUGGAAGAGAAAAAAAAAUUGUCAAUAAGCAUUACUUGUCUAUAAUUCAAUUUCAAAUAUAAGAACUUAAAAUAUUAUAUUUUAUCAUAUCUCUAUUUAAUUUUUUUAAUUUAAAUAAUCCUUUUAGUCGAUUUAUCAAUAGCUUUAAUUAUAUUAAAAAUAAUUAAAUUUUUUUACUAAUAGAAAUUAUAUGUACCAUUAAUUAGAUUUAAGGAUAAUAUUUCUUACACUAUUGAUGCUGUUCAAAAAUUAUAGCGUCGUAUACGCACCCACUAAUAUAAUUUUAAUACAAAUUUAUUAAAUUUUAAUAGUUGUGUUUACAAAAUUUAUCUAUUUUUACUUCCCAGUGAUUUAUCAAACACCCAAUAAUAGCAGUAGAUUUUUUUUUCUACAAUAGGUGUAGGCACCUCAAUCUCAAACAAGUUCUUUAUAUCUUCCACGAUGCAACCCAUAAAUAGAAAAUCACGAAGUUGACUAAGGUUGCGUUUGUUUUUUAACUUAAUGACUUAAAGUGACUUAACUUAAUUAAUUAAGUUAAUUAGAGGUGUUUAUUUUUAUAACUUAAUGAGACUUUUUAGAUAAUUUUGACUUAAUAAAAUAAGCCAAUUUUUUUGGCUUUUUACUUAAUGGAGAAAUUUGAAUUAAGUCAAUUACUUACUAAUGUAAAAAAUAUCCAUGUUUUAUAAUUUAUUUUUCAUGUCUAUCCCAAAACUCACCCAUAGACAUUUACCUCACAUAAAAAUAUCCCUGUUUUUUCUUUCUUAUAUUAUAUAUGAUAAAAUUUGAAAUUUAUGGUAUUUUAUAUAUUAAAAUUUCAAAAUAAUUAUGUAUUCACUUGAAUAUAGUUUUACUUAUAAAUGUUAAAAUAUUGUGGUAUUUAAUAUAUUAUUUAUUUGACAUUCAAAUUUAAUAAGGAUACAAAUGUAAAAGUACAUAUUUUCAGCUUUUCAGUUGAAAAAAAUAAACAACUUAAUACUUAUUUUUCGAGAUUCAGACGAAAAAAUAAACAUAUUAUUCAGAUUUAGACAUUCAGAUCUAUUCAGAAUUCAUACUAAUUCAGGUCUAUUCAGAUUUCAGACAAAAAAACAAACGCCACCUAAGUCUUUGAGUACGCAAACUCUUUGGUUUAUUGGAAUAUUAGCCUUGAUUCGAGAGAGACUAAUUUUCAAUUGCUACUAAUUCAGACCACUGUAUGAUAUUGAGGUUGGACAAUUGUAUUUUAACAGUUAUACCACUAAAGUGUUUGAUAAAAACUAAAUAUUAUUACUUGGAGGCUCAGUUGAUUUAAUCACACUUUACAAUUUUAUCAAAAUUAUUAUUUAAAAUCAUAUUUACUAUUCAAUAUCAACUUUUGCUUCAUUAUUACAGCCUUUUUUCUAUAACAAUUUUGCCUUAAAAGAUACAACACCUUAAUACCAAAUAUGACAUUGAACAAUGUUACAAUAAAUGAAAUAUUAGCAGGGUUGGUGUUUUCAAUAAUAUUAAGGACAUUCAUUGAUUUCAUUUGGAGUCAAUAUUUAAUCCCAUUUACAUCUGCUGUACGGCCCUAGUAGAUAUAUUUAUGUAUACUAGGUUGGGAUAAAGAUCUCAUUUUUAAUGAAUACAUUUAGACUCCCAACAUAUCUCAAAUUGUAAUUUAUAUGUAAAUUGGGUGUGGCUCCAACCCAAGAGUUGAAUAACAGCAAAUGAGUUUGUAAAUACUAGUCGGGGGUUGAUGUACCAACAUCAUGAUUUUAAAAAGGGAAAUUAUCAUUCGUAUACCCUAAAUUAGUGUUUUUAUAAAAAAUACUACAACACUUUAAGGGUGUAUCAAUUGUCCACCCCAAAUUGACAAAAGUUAUCUACCGUCCACUAAACCGUUAAUUGCCGUUUGAAAGUUAACGGAACAGUAACGAAUUGACGAUUUUACUUUUGAAAAUUAUCACUUGUAUACCCUUAAAAUCUCUUAUUAUCACUUAUAUACCCUUAAAUUAUCACUUGUAUCAUAUAAAAAUACUAGAUUACCCCUCUAACAUCAUCAUAUUUAAAUGGCAACUAACAGUUUGGUGGACGACAAAUAUAUUUUGUCAACUUAGGGUGGAUGACUGAUAUACCCUGAAAGUGUUGUAGUAAAUUUGAUAACAGAGUAAACUAAGGGUAUACGAUUGAUAAUUUCUCUUUUAAAAAAAAGAAAAUGAAAAAUGAAAAAAAAAACAACAACAACAAAUUAAGAAAAUAUGGUUUAUCCGAAAAUUUGAUCCCACAACUCGACCUAGACACCAAGAAAUUAUUAGGUACCAUCAGGUCUAUUAUCCAAAGCAGUGAAAGUGCUACAAAUUACAAAGAAAUACCAUGCCAGUGGAGCAGAAUCAUCACACAAAUAUCACUGAAAUGACUGGAUGGAGAUCAAGUCGUGCACGGAAAAAUGAGAACCACUAUUAAAAAAGAACCUAUACUCUGCAGAUAUGAAAAGAAAAUCAACAAAAAGAAACUUUAAGCUCUGUGUCUUGUGCACUUUGUUGGUUUAACAACAUUUUCCAGUGAAAAUUAUAUCUUUAUUUUUUUUCGGUAGCAAUUCAGACUUCCAAAUCACGAAGUAGUCAGUAACAAUUUGCAAGGUCAUGAUCCGCAACCACUAUGCUAAUCCUUUAGGGGGUACAGUCCAAUUUGUUACUAAUGAUUUUUUAAGUUAUAACUUAAAUUUAAUCUACACUUAACAUCUCAGCGUCUUUUUCACCGUUGAAAGUAACUAGCAAUUAAAAUAUUUUCUCUCAAAAUUAGAGAAAAUAUUUUACUUUUCUGUUAUGCAUAUAUAUUGUAGUUUCUGUUUUCUUUUUUAUGAAAAACAAUUCAUUUAUUUUUUUAUGGAAACCCUAGGCUUUUUUAUCUUCUAUUAAAUAAAAAAAAUGAUUUAAAUUAUAAAAUAAUCAAACGCCAAAAAUAGCACAUCACUUGUGCUUGUUAUGGGGCUCAUCUUGUGAAAUAACACAAGACCCCUUAUAAACAAACAUAUUAGAUUGGGCCUCCUAUUAAUAAUAUAUUAGGUUUUUGGCUCAAAUAGCUAAUUAUCAUACUUAUCAAUUCAAUAGUGGAUGAGUUAACUCGGGGAUUAUUUAGAUACAUACAAUAAUGGCUACAAUAAUUAAAUUCAAAAUUAAAUAAGCCUAAUUAUUUAAUUCUAAAUCAGCUCCAUUAUAACAUUAGAAUUGACCUCCGUAAUUAUAUGCUAUUUAGGAUAAUGUUCUUGAAUAAUAAUUCAAACCAUUCCAUAUUAAUCUCUUUACUAAACAUUCAUUUGUACACAUCGUUAUUUAAAUUGAUAUCUCAAUUGUCCAAUUAAUUUAAUUACAUAUUGAUCCUAGACACUUAAUAGUUUUUCUAUGACGAUUGUUUUAACAUACUAAUUUUGUUGACACAUCUAACCAGAGAAUUUUAUAAUAAAAAACUGAAAACACAUCAAGAGAUGUGUUGUACAAAUUCUAUAUUAUUAAUCUAUAAUUUCACUACUCAUAAUUGCUCCCACCAAGAUACCGAAUAAUCUUGACUAUAAAUAUAUAUCUUCUCUAUUGGUAAUUCAAUUGGAAUAGCAAUCAAAACUAUGAAAUUGUAACUAACUCAAUAAUUAGAUUGCAUUAAAAAUCAAUGCCUUGGGAUUUAACAAGUCUAAGAGUUAUUUCAAAAUUAAUUAAAUUUCAUAUGCGAUCCUAUUUGAUGUAAUCAAACUACAUUAAUAAAUCCAUAUAUAAUUAAGGUAAAUCAUUUAAUGAAUUUAGCAUAGUAUAAACAUUAAUAAAACAUAACUAACAUGAAACAUCACAAAUUAACUUUGUGGCAGUUUAAUCUAAAUAUCUUUUAUUUAAAAAAAAAAAGUGAUCAGAUCCACUUUCAAGUAUUUUUUUUUUUAAAAUUUACAUCUACAUGAGAGUCAAACCGUCGACCUUAAGAACGAUUCUGGUCUGACAGAAGAAUGGAAAUAGUAAUUACAGAAGAAACUCAUGCUAAUUAAAAACAUGAUACCUGCCCUUGCAAUCAUCCCUUCAAAACUCUCACUAGGAAUAAACCAUCUUCCCAUUAUGGCAACUCCAUUUCCCAUAAACAAACAUGAAAUGCUGACUGAAAGAGAGACAACAUACUUUGGAUUGGGAGGCCUCGGCUCCUGCCCUUGCCAUUGUCGCAGAAAACGAACCCAAGUGUAUGAAGUGUAGAAAAUGAGGAUUGUGAAUCCAAGUAAGAAUGUAAUCCAUCCUCUGUAGAAAAAGUUCGGAUUCAUGCCGUCUCCUCCAUCUCUAUUUGUUGCUAAAUAAACUGUCAUUAGGUUGAAAAAGUUCCAGUAUUGAGCCUGGAAUGAUUCAUUCAUUCUCAGGGUGUGAACGAUUAUACGAAAGCAGCAAGUUAACGACACUAGUGUUACUAGCAUUGUUAAUGUGUGUGAGAUCAGGAAGUGGUCACAGAUCAUGAUCAAUGAGUUUCCAUAGAAAACAAUGGCUAGAAGCAAAGCUAGUUCUGUUGCCCAUGGCUUUUGCAUAGCUGAAAUUUGGAAUGUGAAUGUGAUGGGGCAAAAAAGAUGAUGAAUGCAAUCAGAGCACUGAAUGCAUUAAUUUGUACGCAAAAUUUGAAAGUCAAUGGCAGGAUAAACAUAGACGCAAGUUGGUGGCUAACUGAAUUGUUAUAAUACUAAAGAAAUGCCACUUUACAUGAGAGGCCACGUGGAAGUGGCCAUUAUUUUAAUUUUCUGAGGAUCAGUCCUAGCAUUUUUUUUUUUUUGCUAUUUCUUAGUCAAAUAGGUUGGGUAAAGUUCAAAUAAAAGGCGAGGCGCAAAAUGUUGAAAUAAAAUAUUUAGCUAUUAUUUAUUUAUUUAUUUUUUAAGAUUUGAAUCUGGACUCACUAUUUUAAACAUUUAUACUCAUAUUAGAUUAGGGCGUGACAUCAGUUUUAUGAUUUUCCAACCGUAUCAACAUCAUUAAUGGGACCAACAAAGUGUCGGUUCCACUGGCAAUGGAGUCCCCUUAAGUGGCUUAAUUGGGUUUGCUCCCCAGUUCGAGUCGCAGGGAAGUCGCCUUUGUUGGGAGAAUAUGUGCCUCCCGGUUCGAGCGGGGACUUCUAGUCUGAGUUGUGGUACGGGCUUAAAGAUGCCUCCCACAGUUGGGGCCCUCCCCAGGAUACCUCGUGAUUAAUAUAAAAAAAAAAAAAUCAUUAAUGGGCAAAUUGGUUUAGAAAAACCAUCAAAUACUAAACACACUAAAAUCUUACGUACAAGUAAUAUCUUUUACCAUUGCACAUAUUUCUUUCUUUUUAACAUAUUUAUUGAUAAUUGAUAGAACACUUCAGCAAAUUUCACUCCAAAUAACAGGUAGCGCUUGCCAUGGUCUUGUUUACCCACCUUAACCACUUAAUUAUGGGUAUAAGGCGUUUUACCUCUUUUGUGAAACGAAUGUUUAUUCCCAGCUUACAUAUCAUUUCGUCCUGACUCUUCGUUACAUUGGUAGGAUUCACGAUUUAUAAUACAGGGCGUCUUCGCUCCACUUUAGCUCAGGUUAUAACUCUUAAUUAUUAAACUGUCUUGAUAAAUGGAAUUGUUUGGUUAUUUCUCAAAUUCCUUCGACAUGCCAUUUGGUUAUAUAGUUUAUGGGCAAAGAUAGUGUUGAUGCGAGAUUCCGAUUCUCCUCGUUCUACGACCAGGAUCUCUGCUCGAUCAUCUUCACCACGACCAGGAGGUCUCCUAGUAAUGCUUCUUCUCCAGAUGUCCCUGCACAAACAGACAAGUCAGAGUACGCCGGUUGUUCCCCCGGCGCAAACCCUCCGACGCUCAAGUCAGAUAUGAAGGUUCAGGGAACGCUUGCCACACGUCUUAUGGCUUUUUCGUGGUUUUUCUCUAAUCUCAAAAAUGCCAACCCUCUUACCUUCGUUGGCUACCUUUUUAUAGGCUUCCUCUGAAUCUCAGUCUUCCGCUCUUUUCCCGACGGUAUGGGACUCCCACUGCUGCGUUAUGGGCAAACGUGGGAUCUAGCGUGUUACGCCACGGUUCAGGGGAAAGCGUGGCUGUCAUGGCUCUGUGAGACUUUGCGUGUUACGCCACGGUUCUGGGGAAAGCGUGGCUGUAGUGCCUAGAUUCUCGCGCUGGAGAGCACGUCUUGCCAACUGCCGUCGACCGGGUCUCCUCGCCUCUUGACCUCUAGCCGGAAUGGCCUUAUGCCUUUUAUAGGGAAUUGGCCUCGCGGAUGACAACAUCGUGGACGAGCAGGAUAUUUCUGCUCCUGUUCUUCCGCGCACCAGGCUUUUACGGAACACACCGGUUCGCAGAACUCCGCCAUCAGAUAUCUGCUCGUCAUUCCUGGUCUCGUCGACGUAUUUAUCCCAAACAGUAUCUCUCCCAAACAGAUAGGAUUUUUUUUCUUAAGAGAAAUGCUAAACAGCCAAAAGAAAAAGGGAACGAAGACAGAAACAACAAUACAUGCUGCACUUUUAUCUAAGGAUGGCAAAAAUUCCCAAGGGGACGGGUACCUUCGGGGAUUUUUUCCAUUCGGGGAGAAUACGAGGAUAAUUUUAUACCCGAUUUCUUAUUCGGGGAAGGGACGAGGAUGAGGUGGAAUCCCCAUCCCCUCCCCAUUUCCCCCAUUUUAAUUUUAAUUUUUAAUUUUUAAAAUUACCAGUAAAUAAAUAAUAAAAUUCGAACUAUAUUAUAAAAUUAUAAAUAUUGGUAAAAAUAAAAAAUAUUAAAAUAAUUUUAAUUAUUUUAUUAAAAAUAUUAAUUAAAUAUCUACAUUUAUUUCAUUUAUUUUAUUGUCGAUAUAAAAGUUCUUUUUAUUGUAGGAUUAUGAAGAUUGAGUCAUUGACAAAGAUAAUUAUUUUAAUAAUUUAUAUUUUGAAUGUGACUUUGAAAUGGAUCAAUAAUGUAUUAGUUAUUCGAGAAUCGGGGACCCUCGGAGAUCCCCUGUUAUUAUUCGGGGAGGGAAUGUGAAUUCUCUCAAGUAAUUAUGCGGGGGAUGGGGAGGGAACAGGGACAUGCGCAAAAUAUCAGGUAUAGAUACGGAAAGAUUAGUCCCCUCCCCUCCCCUCCCCUCCCAUUACCAUCCCUACUUUUAUCUUUAUUUCCUUUAUAUUUUUUCACUAAAACAUAAAAAAAUGAUAAAAUUUUAGUAAAAGUCUAAUUUUAUCCCCCUUUACAACUAACAGCCAACCAACCCCAAGAUCUCUUAUUAAAAAAAAAAAAAAAGCCCUGCACUAAGUGAUGACAACAGAGAUGCCAAUGGCACCACCAACAGCGACCAUUUAUACCAUAAUGAUUCCAAGAAUUAUCAUAGAUCGGAGAAUUGAAAUUUUAUGUUUUCUGACAAAAUUGAUCAAGUAUGAGUGAGAGAGAGUAAAAUAGGACAUGUGGCAAUGACAGCGUGGGCAUGAUGUCCUUGAAUGUAAUUUCAAUAAGAGUGAGAUUAUUAGCACCCUUAUAAUUUGCAUUUACAAUGCCUUUUCUAUUGUGAGCUACGUUAGUUCCAAAAAUAUCCUUUCUUAAUUUUUUAACCUCUUCCACACACCUCCAAAUCUUGAAAUAUGAUUUCUAUGUACAAAAUUUUGGAUGAUUAUAUUAUAUGUAUUUAAUUUAAAAUAUAUAUUUGAAUUAAUUAGAGUUAAAAGUGAACUCAAAAUAGCUAAUCUGUAACUUUUUUUUUUAAAAGGAUAUUCAAGAAAAUGGGAAAAAAAUUAUUCUUUUGAGUUUAUUCAAGAAAUCGAUAAUGGAUGAGGAGUUUGACGAGAGUAUGAAUAUAUUAUUAAAAUCACAUUGAUUAGAAUGCAAAAUAUUUGUUAGGGAACCAAAAAAAGAAAAAGAAAAAGUGAAAACUGUUGUUCAUGUGAUUAUAUGGGUGUAAUGAAUUAGAGAGAGAAGCUUAUAGAAACAGAAAAAUAAUUUAUUUAAUUAUUUAAUAUAAUUGUGAUAAAGAAGGGGUUUGAUACGAGUUAUAAAUGGAUGCCAGUCCCACUCUUUCAAUAAAAAUUAAAAUUAUAAAUAUUUAAAUAGCUAUUUGACGAGGAUUAUGAAGGGGUGGCAAUAGCCCAAACUUCCUGUUGAGAUAUUUAAAUAGCUAUUUCACGCAAAAAUGAAUGAUUGAUUUUUACACGGGAAUCGACUACGAAACAGAAGAAAAUUCGGAAAUGUUGUAAACAUUACAUGGUUGGCACCAAAAUUUGACCCCACGGCCUAGCCUGGAAGCCAUGGAAAUCUGCAGUGCAAUUUUGUCAUCGUCAAAAACAGUGAAAGUGAUACAAAGAAUAAAAAUAAGUUAACAAAGGAACAAAAGAGAUAGCAUGCCAGGGGAGCUGAAUGAAUGGCCACAAGUAUCACUGAAGUGACAGGACAAAGAGCAAGUUGUGCACAGAAAGUGAGAGCCACAGCCAGCGGAAAAAAGAAAAAAAGGAACUUAUUCUGCUGAAAUGGAAAUCGACAUGAAGAAAUUUUGUUCUCUGUGUCUUCUGCUUUUCGCAGUAUCCAGUGUUACAGCUGCUGCAAAGGAAAGUUAUAAACAUGGAGAAUGUGAUGGUUCCAUUGCAGAAUGUGGUGAAUUAGCAGCUGAAGAAUUCUCAAUGGAGUCAGAAACAAGUAAAAGAGUUCUUGCAGCAGCACACAAGUUCAUUUCUCCCGGGGCCCUGCGGCGGGAUGCGCCGGUAUGUAAUGGAGGAGCAAGGGGAGAUCCGUACAGUAAAAGUUGCCUGCCUCCCCAAUCAAAUCGUUAUCAAAGAGGUUGCGCCGCGUACAAAAUGUGCAGAAUGUGAGCAGCUGUUUUAUGAGUUUCUUUUUUGUCAUUCUUCUUCGGUUAGUAAUAAAUAUUUGCUAUAAUGAAAAUAAAAUUGCUCAAAGUCCAUGCGUAGUUGUUUAUUUGAGAUGUUUGGUAUCCACUUGUUCUACCAUAAAACUAUGAUUUUUUUUUUUUUUGGGGAAUUACAUGAAGCUAUGAUUUUAAAACCGCAAUUUAUUGAAACUUCCUUGUCUGGCCAUGAUAUUCCAUGAUUUGUUGAAUAUUUUAGGACUUGUUGAAUUUUUUAGGACAUGUAAUAUAUGAACUUUUUAAUAACAAAAGCCUUUAAAAAUAUACUUUCAAAUGGAUUUGGUGUGUAUGAAUUGAAGAGAUUGAGGUUAAAGAAUGGGAGUAGUCAUUUCAAUUCUUUUUUCCUUUUUCUCUCGAUCCCUUUCCGUUCUAACAAUUUUAGAGAGUGAGAAAUAUCAAAGAAAUUUCUCAUGUUUGAUAUUUCUCACGCACUUCUGUAAAUCAAAUCCUUCAUUUCUGGAUGUUAAUUUAGCAAAGUGGCAAUAAAGGUAAUUUAAAAGAUUACAAAAGGAAGGUCGAAGCCAGUUGCAAUCACUUCAUUAUACGUCGUUUAAUUAGUGCUAAGAAUUGAAUUAGGAGACUAAUCAAAAUUGUUCAAGCAUACUAAGAGGUGAUUUCAAAUUUUGGGUGGUCUCUCUCCCCAUUCUGCCUGAAUAUGGGUGGGGAAGUUUAAUUCACCUAAUUAGAACGUCGGCAAAUGUCUUCAUAAUAAUUAUGUAUGCUAUACAAAUUAAAGAAAAUUCGUUUUAAAAGUUUAGUAGAGUUAAAAAGUUUUGUCAUGUUAUACAAAUUAAAGAAAGCUCAUUUAAAAAGUUCUGAAAAAGCUAAAAUGUUUUGUCAAAUCAAACACUUAAACGUGAUAAUUAAAUAUUUGUUCGAUCAAUUUUCUAUCACUUGUCGCCUAUGACCUACCACUCCACUGAGAAACAUGAGUCACCGCAUGAUUAUUUUCAAGUGCGCGCAACACUCGUGACAAGCUCCCAUCAUUAGGAGAACUGUGCUAAUUCCCCAUUAAAUUUUGACCCGUGCUUAAUCGUUUACCUGAUCAACACUCUUAUCUCUGUGUCCUCAAAUUCUGUCCAAUUCCAAUCCCCUCCAAAUGGUACAAUAUUAAAAGGUUACUGUCUUGCUGCUGCUACCAGUGUCGGCUUUAAUACUAGGCGAAUUAGACAGUUGCUUAAGGCCCCGUAUUUAGGAAGGCCCCGAUUUUCGGUAUCUAUUUAUUAAUUAAUAUAAUUAAUUUUUUUUAAGAUUCAAAAAAAUUAAGUUACAUAUAUAUUUUUUGUACAGUAAAAAAAGCCUAAUUUUUAUGAUUUACCCUAUCAUUACUCUCAUUCAUAAUUAUCUCUCUUAUUUAAUAAUCUUUGCCAUAAAUAUAAGAUAUAUUUUUAUGCUAUAAUAAUGAUUUUGAACGUUACUUCUUUAUUUUCUUUUACUAUUUCCCAAAAACAAUCAAUGAUUUCCCUUUCAAAAAAAAAAACUCUUAUUAAGAUUAGUAACAUUAGAUUUUUUGAUUUACCCUAUCAUUACUCUCAUUCAUAAUUAUCUCUCUUAUUUAAUAAUCUUUGCCAUAAAUAUAAGAUAUAUUUUUAUGCUAUAAUAAUGAUUUUGAACGUUACUUCUUUAUUUUCUUUUACUAUUUCCCAAAAACAAUCAAUGAUUUCCCUUUCAAAAAAAAAAACUCUUAUUAAGAUUAGUAACAUUAGAUUUUUAGAACUAACUUUUGGUAUUCUAUUAAAAUCUAUUUAAAAGCUCAUUAUCUAUAAACCGAUACACAUUGAAUCAAAGCUAUUUUCGGCAAAAAGUUUUUGUGCUCUCUUCUUUUCUCUACAAAAUUCAUUACCAUCAUCAUCUUCAUCUCAACUAGUCAAUUGACUCAAAUCCAGGUGCUAUCAUUCUAUUUUUUUCUAUUUUUUAUUAUUAUUGUUCUUAUCCUUUUAAAAUUUAAUUUAUUUUUGAUUUUUUGUAUUGAUUUUGGCUUGAAUAAUCUAGAAAAAAAAAUUGUGUUUGUUUAUUUAUUUAUUUUAUUUGAAAAACAUGUCAACUAGAAAAUAUGUAUCGGGAUAUGAAAAAUUGAAAAAAAAGAGGAGAAUAGAAAAGUUAGUUCAAUCUCAAAAAGGAGCUCUUGAUAAAUUUGUCACAACUAGUAAAAAAGAUAUAGAUUUAAAUGAAGAAUUAGUUAUUGAACAACCAAGUUUAAAUGAAUUAAAUAAUGAUGAAACGGUGAAUGAAAUAAACAACAUUGAAGAUGAUAAAAAUAAAAAUGCAGACAAAGUUGAUGUAAAAAAUUUAUUUGUUCCAAAUAAUAUUUAUGAUCCAGGAAGAUGGGAAAAUGUUGAUACAAAGUUAAGAGAUCUUUUAGUAGAAAAAGGCCCAAUUAGAGAGAAUAACAUAACUUUCCCAAAAGAUGAAAAUUCUAGGCAUUUCUCUACUGCAUUUUAUGUUAAAAUGUUAACAAAUGGAGAAAAACAUGAUAGAAAAUGGUUAAUAUAUUCAAAAGAUUUUAACAAAGUAUAUUGUUUUUGUUGCAAAUUAUUCAAUACAAGUUGUAGCAAAAAUCAACUUAGUGAUGAAGGAAUAAGAGAUUGGAAAAUCUUAGUUCUAAACUUAAAAGUCAUGAAACAACCAAUGAACAUAUAACUAAUAUGAAUGCAUGGGUUGAUUUAGAAGCAAGACUAUCGAAAAGAAAAACAAUUGAUAAAGAUGUUCAAGAAAGAAUUGACAAGGAAAAAGAACAUUGGCAAAAAGUAUUAAUACGAACUAUUGCUGUUGUAAAAAAUCUUGCUAAAAAUAAUUAAGCAUUUCGUGGAAAAAAUGAGAAGAUCUGUGAAGAGAGAAAUGAGAAUUUUUUAAGUCUGCUGUACCGUACAUCCGCCUUGGCCGUACAGCAGACAUUUUGUAAGGGAGAGACUGUUUCACUCAAUUAGUUGAAAAUUAAGGGAGAACUAAAACUAACCUUCAUAAUGCUUUUAUGGAGGCUCGAACCCUUGCACUCAACAUUGUAAGUGCAAGACUUCUCCCAUUGGACCAAAGGCCAAUUGGUCAGCUCCCCUUUCUUAGAUGGAAGGGAAAUUCAUUUCUAGCCUCAGACUGUGCGGUGUUUAUGUGCGGGCUUAUUCCACAAGUUCCUUUCUUCUUCCACGUCCAAGUAUUUUAAAAUUAUUCAUCUUAUUGAUAUGAGAUUUUUAUUAUCUUAUCUUGGAUGUGAUAAAAAUUUUCAUUGAUCGAUUAAAAAAAAUUACGAGGAAAAUAGUAAAAUAUAAAAUUAAAAAAAAUUAACAGUUAGUUAUUUCUUUUAAUGGCGGGGUUUUGAUGGGUUUUAAAAUAAUUAAGAGGGGGUAAUGAUAUAUUUCUUGCAACGACAGGUGGGGUUUUUAUCACUUUCUCGGAAAGGAUAGAAUUGAAACGACAGUCCUCUUGUUUGAUUGUAAUAAUAAACAAUCAUACAUAUUUUAUUAGAAAUAUAAAUAUUAUCAGCAAUAAAAUUGAUAAUUAUGAUUUAAAAUUACUGUUAAAUUUUCGUAAACUAUGUAGAACAAAAAAAAAAUCUUAAUUUUCUGUGUUUUUUUCCUGAUGAGAUGGAUUUGUUACAUGUACACAGAAAUAUGUGCUUGGUAGACCUAUGGAAGUCACGAAACCAUUGAUGUUUGCGAGUGCUUUCAUAACCUUCAUAUCCCUUGCAAUUGCAUUUGUCAAGGUACAUUCAUAAUUAUUCUCAGACACGAUCUUUGUAUUUUAUAAAUGCAGGUGUCGAAAUCUUUUAUAAAAUUGUAACACGUCGAAUCCACAGUUUUAUACAAUUGGUGGCUACUAAUUAACCCCUUUUUUUUGUUUAAUUUGAACAGGAUUUACAUAAUAAUAAAUAUUAUUAUUAUUAAUAUUAUUAAUGACAUUUAAAAUAAUAAAAUUAAUUGUGAUUUGAAUGAGGGUAAUUUGGAAAAUAUAAAAAAUUAAAGGGAUACAAAAGUAAAUAUAUAUUUCAUUCUCAUUCCCUCAUUUUCAUUCCCAACCCUCACAUGAGAAUGAGAUUCUCAUUUCUUAUUCCCAAAUUGUGUGGGACUCAAACAUUUUAUUCUCAUUCCCAAAUUAUAUUUUACCGAGUAAAUAUGGGUUUCAUUCUCAUUCCUCAUUUCAUUAAGUAAACACACCAUUAGUGUCAUACUAGGGAAAGCAAAAGUGAGUAAAUUAGUAAAAAAUUUUAUUCUUAAGGCCAUAAUAAUUAAAUAUUGGAAUUAAUCUCAAUAAUAUAUGAUUCUGUUUCAGAUUAAUAAUUAUAUAUGAUGCUGUCCUUAUUCAUCUUUAAUUUUCCUUUACAUGCAAUAGAGAAUCAAAUUAAUGAACAACAACAUAAAAAUUGGCUGCAAGAACAUAUUCGACGCUCAAAAUAUAAGGUGCUUUGGCUAUCUGUUUAUAUGCUCUCCAUUGCGUACGGAGCCGCGGUAUUAUUUGGAGCUAUUGCAGAGUUUGAUCCAACAAUGCAAGAACAUAUUCGACGUAUUAAAACCGGUGAAAUUCAUGAUCAUUAUCUUGGACAUAACAUACAAAAUGAACUCAUAUUAAUGCUAGCACUUGAAAUAAAAAAAGAUAGAAGAAUAUUUUUUAGGAUUUUUACAAGUUGACAAUACCACUGGAAAAGGUCUUUUAAUGAACUUGUGGAUGUAAUUAAAACUCUUGAACUUGAUAUUAAUGAUGUAAGAGGACAAGGAUAUGAUAAUGGAUCUAAUAUGAAAGAAAAAAAUCAAGGUGUACAAAAAAAAUUAUUAGAUAUAAAUCCUAGAGCAUUUUAUACACCAUGUGGCUGUCAUAGUCUUAACUUAGUGCUUUGUGAUAUGGCUAAUUCUUGUCCUAAGGCUAUUUCAUUUUUUGGAGUUGUUCAACGUGUUUACUCACUAUUUUCUUCUUCACCUAAGAGAUGGAAAAUUUUACAAGAUAAUAUACCUAAUUUAACUGUUAAAUCAUUGUCACAAACACGUUGGGAAAGUCGCAUAGAAAGUGUCAAAGCAAUAAGAUUUCAAACUCCCCAAAUUAGAGAUGCUUUACUUGAAUUAGCAGAAGUUAGUGAAGAUCCUAAAAUAAAAAGUGAAGCUAAAUGUUUAGCAACAUAUGAAUUGGAAAACUUUGAAUUUUUGUUAGGCAUGAUUAUUUGGUAUGAUAUAUUAUUUGCUGUGAACACUGUUAGUAAAAGCUUACAAAAGGAAGAUAUGCAAAUUGAUGUUGCCAUAAAUCAACUAAAAGGUCUUACAUCCUUUUUUGAGAAUUACAGAGAAAAUGGUUUUGUGUUUGCUAUGAUUUCAGCUAAAGAGAUUGCAAAUGAAAUGGAAAUAGAACCAAAAUUUCAUGAAAAACGUAUAAUUCGUAGAAAAAAUAAAUUUGGCGAGAAUAAUAAUGAAGAGAAAAUUCUAUCUCCCGAAGAUUCUUUUAGAAUUGAUUACUUUGUAUAUAUAGUAGAUCAAGCUAUUUCUUCAAUCACCAAUAGAUUUGAGCAAUUUCAAUUCUAUGAAAAUAUUUUUGGAUUUUUAUUUAAUUUUGAAAAAUUAAAAUCAUUAGAUGAUGAAAGCUUAAAAAGUUAUUGUAUUAAUCUUGAAAAUAUCUUGAAAUAUGAUAUGUUUUCUGAUAUUGAUGGAUUAGAUUUGUUUUCAGAGUUAAAAGUCUUAAAAGAAGUUUUACACAUGGAAAGAAAUAGUCCACUUGAUAUACUUAAUUAUAUUAAAAAAGUAGAUUCUUUUCCAAAUGCAUUUGUUGCUUAUAGAAUAUUAUUGACUGUACCUGUAACUGUUGCUUCUGCUGAGAGAAGUUUUUCUAAAUUGAAGUUAAUAAAAUCUUAUUUAAGAACUACAAUGUCACAAGAAAGAUUAAAUGGAUUAGCUAUAUUAGCUAUUGAAAAAAAUUUGUUAGCUAAAUUAGAAUAUAAGAUUUUAAUUAAUAAUUUUGCAUCUCAAAAAGCAAGAAGAAUAAAAUUUAAUUGAUUAGUAAUUUGCAUUAGUGAUGGCUUGCAGCAAGGAUCAUAGUAGGUAAACAAUUGUUGUAAUUCAAGAUAUUAUUGAAUAUAGUUAAAGUUUGAGCUAUUUGAUGUUGUUGUGAGAAUUUUUUGAGCCGUUUAAUGUUUUUGUGAGAUUUGGUAUUUUAACAUCAAAAGGCCUAAAAUAAAAUUUCGCCUAAGGCCCCCAAUUGGUUAAAGCCAGUCCUGGCUGCUACUCAUGUAGCAAAAGUUGAUAAUGCAAUCAUCAAUCACAUUAACAUAACUAUUAGCUUCCACAUUGGAAUUAUGAAACCAACCUAACGCUAAGAUGCAUUUAAUAAUGACUUCAUAGAGUAGGAAAAAUAAGAGCCUAAAACCCAAACAAAUUAGUGAGGUGAAGUGUGGUCCAUGUUUUCAGAAUGGGACUUCCACUAUCACUUUAUUAAAUUGAAAAAAACAAAAAUAAUCCCAACAUACUCUAUAAAUUAAAUGCUUUGCACAUUCAAAAGUUACAAGUACGGAAGCUACUAAACUAAUGGAAUCAAAGCUUACCAAUCUCUCUCUUCAUUUGAGCUCCUGUCUGAUCCUUGCCCUGCUGCUUUUCAACAAAGCUGCAACAGCAAGAAGCAGCAACAUAUGCAAUGGUUCAAUAGCAGAGUGCAGCGAGGAAAUUGAGAUGUUUAUGGAGUCUGAUAUCAGCAGAAGGUUUCUUGAAGAAAGGAAGAAAUAUAUAACACCAGGGGCUCUAAAACCGGACCAACCAGUUUGCAGCGGCGGCGGCAGAGGUGAUGCUUAUAGUAAAAGUGGAGGCUGUCUUCCUCCAAGAUCUAACAGAGAUACCCGAGGCUGCCCUGCAUAUUAUCGUUGUAGGUCUGGCUCUUGAAAACUAUUGCCGUUGGCUCGUUCUAUGUUUUUCUUUUAAUCUUUGGGCUGUGAAAGGACGCAAUUACAUGAUAUAUCUUUGAUCAGAUAUGAUAAAAAGAUCGAAGCUUUCUACUUUUAAGAUAUGAUCCAAAUGUUUUUGCUCUCAUCACAUCUGGAUGUUUUCAGUCAAACCAGCUUCUGCAGCCAUAUCAUUUUUCGCUCAAGAAAUAAAAUAAAAUAAAUAUCCAUGCCGAGUUUAGGCUUUCUUCCUGGGCUCUAUUCAAAGACAAAUUCUAGUUUUCUUAUAUAAACAAUGAGAAAACUUAAAUUACUAUACUUUUUCGCUUGAUCCAAGACCACUCACUAAAUACCUUAGAGCAACACUUAAAUAGCUCCGUUUUGAGAAUUUUAACAAUCUUUAUGAUGUAUUUAGGAUUGAGGUUGGGCAGUUAUAGCUUAAAAAUUACAGCACUAAAGUAUUUGGUAAACACUAAUUGUUGUAGCUUUUAAGCUAUGUUGAUAUGAUUUUUGACUUGUAUAAUACAAAAUCUAAUAUAUUUUUAAUAAUUUUAUCAAAAUUAUUAUUUAAAAUUUACAUUUACUAUAUAUUAUUAACUUUUGUUUUAUAAUUACAGUUUUUUUUUCACAACAACUGUAGCUUUUAAGCUACAACACUUCAAUUCCAAACGCACCCUUAGACUGUCUCCACCCAAAUAGUGUAUAUUUCAUAAAUGUCAAAUGUGCAUGCACACAACCAUCUAGCAGCAGAGGUCCUUCAAAGCUUCAAGCAUAAAAGUGAAUCUUCUUAUGACACAUUUGACUAGUGUAUCUAUCCAUCAGGACCCUCACUUGGUUCUUGGAGAUUUCUUACUCUUUCAAGGAGGGAAGUCCAAAGUCCCAACGCCAACAAAUAAAGGAGAACAUGUUCCCUUGUAAAUCAUAGACCUCAAUUUUUAAAAUUUAAAGAACAAACAAAAGAGCGAGAGAGUGUGGCUAUUACAACAUUAAUUUUAGAUGAAAUAAUAUGUAAAUAAAAUUGAAUGAAGAAUGAUAAACAUUGUUAUACAUCCUUGCAGACAAAAACAUGGAUGAUGAGCAAGGGGGUUUACAACGUAAAAUCCAAAUGCAGUAUUGCUUCUUUCCAAGUGUUUAUGAGUAACAAACAGAUUUAUAUCAGAGCUACAAGUACCGAGACAACGAGAAACAACGAGAAAGCUAGUAAUAUAAAUACUCAUGCUCAAGAAAGCUUGGGCAUAAAUACUAAUAGAUAAGUAACGAUGCAAUGGAAAAUAUACCUAUUUUGUCGAUGCAAACACAUUCAGCAAUUUCAGAUAUUGUGAUAUAUCAUAAAGAAGUUAAAUACAAAUUACCAAAUCAUAUAGUGCAAAAUAAAUCAUAGUAGGCCCCAUUGUUUAAAGCAAGUCCAAUAUUUACAACCAUAAUGCUUGUGCAUUCGGCUGAAGUCCAGUUCACCAUCAUAAAAAAAAAAAAUGAUAACUGCAGUUCACAAUGGAAUAUAUAAAAAAUAUCAUCGCUAGUUUAAGCAUCAAGUACAAUUUUUAAAAAAAUAGUGACAAACAAAAAGGAAGACGCACGCUUUUAUCAAACAUGGAAUUUUCUUGUUCGUUUGUUCCAUGUAGAGUAACAUCUGUAGUAUUUAACCCCUUGAACAUGAGGCUAAGUGGCUACAACUCAACACAAUUCCAGGUCACAAUCCAAAACCUAAAAAUUACAGCUCUACUUAACUGAAAGCUUCCAUACCUCUCUGACAUUAGAAGAACCAUCCGCCACUUCAGCAACCAGGCACGCAUCCAUACUACCUGCAAGAGGAAGGAAAAAGAAGGCCAAUUAACAAGAUAUCACAACCCUUGUGUGUAUCGCUGGAUCUAAUUAUGCCAUUUGAGACCAUGCAGAUCAGAUAAAAAGUGCAGAAUACUCUGUAUAUUUCCAGGAAUUUCAACGGGUAUUUACACUUAUGUAUGUCCAGACAUGCAUGCACACUUUGUCCGUGGAGGAAAAUGAAAAAUUUAACCAGAUUCAAGAGCAAAGAAAGUUCUAGAAGAUGCAUGUAUGUGCUGUUACUGUAAACUUUUACGGUCCUAAGCCAUUUCAACCCAAGGGAGGAAAUAAAACACCAAUCAUCAUUAAAAUGUGGUUCAUUCUAGAAUUUAAAAUAACAAAUUAGAAGAAUUAUCUCACCAUCGUUCUCCACCAUAGACAGGAAUCGUCUUGUUCCACCACCUACACCAAAAUAAUGCUUCUUUGCUGCCAAGUACACAACUCCAUGUGGACGGCUGAUGCUCUACAAAUUAAUCACUUUUAGAAGUCAAUAAUUGAUAUUUGCAAAGAACAGAGAGAGGAAACAAUAAGAAACCAAUAUUUUAUGAUGAAAUACCUUCUUUAUAAGUCCAUAAAGACUUUGGUGAGCAGAAACUGAGUAAAUUGUCUCCGCCAUCAAAAUGAUAUCAUAGCCAGAAGUUGGACCGUCCCCUGGGUGACAGUUUAGAUCCUUUUCAUCAUACUUUACACAGGGAAGGAGUUGAUGGAUCUGACUCCAGUCACCAGCAAAAAAACGCACUUCUGCCCCAGACUGACAAUUUGUUUCAAUUGUUGCUGCAGGCUGAAGCUUUUUGGGCACGUUGGCAAUUACAUUGGGGAUUGUCAGAUAUCUUAAGACUUCAGCAUUAAACUCCUGGAAAUGUAUGACGGCAGCACCCUAAUGCAAGGCAGGGGAAAAACAAGCUUAAUGAACCGGAAGAUUUUAAAGCAUCUAGUUGUCAACAAUACAAUACAAACUAACCUCAAGGCAAGCAAAGAUCCCAGGAAGACCAUGACCACAUCCCAACUGGAAACAAUUACAUAAAAACCAGACAAAUUAUCAAAUCAAAGACAUAUGUAUCAGUAUACAUUGAAAGCCUUGUGCACGGAAUUAACAGAAACAAAGAUUUUGUUGUCGGAUUCAUUAAGCAAGGAGAAAUUCAGAAAUUAGUCAUAAUUGUCUCAAUGUAUACUGAGGUUAACAAUAACAUUAAUCUGGCACAAAUUGAAGUCAACAAUAACAUUAGCCUUAAAUUGGUACCUUAAACUCUUUUACUGGCUAUUUAAUGACCAAAUUAUAAUCAAUUUUUAAUACGUAGAUUCCAAUUGAACCAGGUAAUAAAUCCAUGGACAGAAAUAGAUGACCUUAUAUUCUAAUAUUUAUUGAAGCCACAAUAACACUCUAAAAAGCAACUCCAUUCAAAACAACACAGAAAAUUUAAAAAGAUGGAAAAAAACACUGGUCUUCCUCAAAGCACUUAAUAGCAUGCCAAAACUAUCAUGUAAACCUAUCCUGCCCAGCCAAGGAUUUUCUUCGAACAGUGUUAAAUUUUAAUCCUCCUCUUCAAUGACCUUGGUGCCAAGCCACCUCAGUCCUUCCGCUGGGAUUUCUGCAACAGCUACAAAGGAGUACUCUCUUCCUUAGCAUCUUCAUCAUUGUUCCUCCUGCGAAACGAACAAUGUGAAACCUAACCCUCCUUGGAACACUUCAGAUCCCCCUGCUCCAGAGUUGCUUGUUCAAUUUCACAUCAACCCUAGCAUCCUUAAUCCCCAUAGCUUUCUCUGCAAAUUUCCUGCUUCCCAUAAUGACUUUGGAGCUUUCUUCUUGAAUGUACAGUCAUGUAGAUGCUUGUGAAGGUUGAUGGUGAACUCUCUGGUCACCACCUCCUCCUUUCGUCCCUUUGUCUUCUCCACCAUUUUCUCUCGCUUUCCCUUUAUCUUUAAGGGUUCAAAAAAUGCAGGAACUCGAGAGGGGGAUGAAAGAGGGGACGAGGAUUCAAUAAAAUGAUGAAGUGUAAAACUCAAAACCCUCAAACAGAAGACCUUACAUCUUUAUGAAUUUAGUAGGCAAAACAUACUACCUUACAUCUCCAUGAAUUUAGUAGGCAAAACAGACUGCAGAAUCACCCAUUACAGAUGAUUGCUUAACCCCCCCCCCCCCCCCCNNNNNNNNNNNNNNNNNNNNNNNNNNNNNNNNNNNNNNNNNNNNNNNNNNNNNNNNNNNNNNNNNNNNNNNNNNNNNNNNNNNNNNNNNNNNNNNNNNNNNNNNNNNNNNNNNNNNNNNNNNNNNNNNNNNNGUACAGCAGCAAAAAAAAUCUACUUUUGUGCUUAUUCGAAGAAAACUAAUGAAUUGUAUUCUAACUUUUGCUGGAAACCGUCACUAAAAUAAUAAAAUCCAAGUCAAUAUCUCAAAUAUGUGUAAAAUUAGAAUAAUUAAUAUGCCCAUUCUUCAAUAUGUUGUUAUCAUAAAGAGUUUCAGUUUUGCCUAACUCUGCAUUUGAUAUUGAAAAAAACUAUGAGUCUCAAGUCCUAGUAUAUGUAAACUAACGGUCACGAUCAACAUGCCCAAACAUAAAAAAUAAAAAGAUGAAGUAAACAGUACAAAAUCACCUGAAACUAUGAGCCCACCUCUAAAACACGCUUUCCUGAAAAUGAUAUAUUACCGUUCUGAACAUCCAAGCACAGAGCUUUAACAAGAUCGAUCGAACCUUCCCACAACUUCAGGCCCCCUAAUCCCCAAAAUCACAUACAUACACAAAUGUGCACAAUCAAGCAAACAACAAAAGUAGAAAAAAAUAAAUAAAUAAAUAAAACAAAAUAAAAAAAGAAAGUGCAAAAACAAUUAAGGCUGUAGUAUGUGCACCUUCAUAUACUCCAGGAACUAAGUCAGAGUUAGGCAAUCCUAAAACUUCUUUAGUACUCACCCGACCCUAAAAGAAAAAUGUAAAACAGAACUUAGCCAUUUUCCUUACAAGAAAACAUGAUGAAGUUUCACUUGUGUAAGCUUAACAUUUUAUCAGGCAUUACAAGAAAAAUCCCAUAUGAAUUCUAAAAAGGGAAGCGUACAACAAUUAUUGAAAAGGGUGACACAGACCUUGAGCAAAGUGAGUUCACCUAAAUUGACUGGCUCCAGAGUGAAGUUGAGAGACGGUGAAACCUACUUAGCAUCAAAACCAAUCAAUAAUAACAACAAUAAUAAUGAAGUAUGAAAUAGCUAGCCAAGAUAAAUAAAACGGAGAAAGAGUGGCAGUGUAGAAAUUAAAACCUCAGAAGGAAGCACUUCAAGGGAAGGAGGAGGAGGAGGGAGAGGAGUUUCAUCCUCUUUAGAAUCAAGAAACGAUAAACCAAACAUUUUCUUCUGCAAGCGCCUGCUACUGCCAGUAGCUGCAGAACCAAACGUAACUGCUAUUUAUUUGUUGUUCGGAUUUUGUUCUUGGGACAAGGAAAUCAAGUUCUGGGCUUUGGGCUUCGGGCUUCAAUGGAUAUUAUACGCGAGUAAUGAUAUUUUGAGCCUUCAAGGUAUCAUCUAUUUUUUAAUUUAUUUUAUUACCUACCACAAUUAUCUGUAUUGAAAUAAAAAAUUAUUAUUUUAUUUUAUUAUCUUUCUAUCUCCCUUUCUCCCUACCAUAACUUUAUAAAUAUCACCUCACUCCAUCAACAACAAGCACAUCAUCAACACCACCACUAGCAGCACCUGUGGGAAAAAUAGCAUAUUGAAUUCUUAUUUUAAAAUAUAAUUUUAAGUGGACCUACUUUGUUUAAGUAAAAGAUUAUAAAAGUAUCUCUAAAAAAAUCUUUAAAUAAAACUUUAUUACAUAUGUGAAGAACUAUAUCAGCAUUUAAAACUUUAAAGGAUACUCCAAUUAAGAUUUUUUAAAUAAGAAAUAAUUUUCUCUCUCUUCAGUUUUGUAGAGUUACUUUCUCCCUUUUUAAUUUAUAUUUUAUUACUUUUUAUUGGAGAGAGAGAAGUGUUUUAAUUACCAUUUAUUUUUCUUUUAAAAAAUAUUUAUUUGAUUAAAAUAAUAUUAACUUAUUUCUAUUUGAAUAGCCUUUUGGAGAAUAACAUAUUUUUUCACUCUCUUAUUUGCCACAUAAGUCAACAAAUAAAUAUUUGAAGAAUAAAAUUAAUAAAGCCUUUUGGAAAUGGUCUAAGUGAUUUAGAUACUCUUUCAAAAGUAUAUUGAUGUAUUUUAUACCCAAAAUGAUACUUAGUUGAAUGAGAAAUUGACUCUUAGUGCAAGUUUGGUUGAAAAAAAUAGGAAAAGAGAAGAGGAAUAGAAAGGAGAGAGAUGGAGACAAAAUGAGAGAAAAAGAUGGUUAAUAUCGAUUUCAUUAUUUGAUUUGAUAUAGAGUUAUCUAUUAUUCUCUUAUUUCUUUUUCCUUUCCUCAUUUUCUCUCAUCUUACUUUCUUUCGUUUCUGCUAAUCAACAUGUCAUUAAAAUACACCCAUUGACUGCAUUGAAUAAUAGUGGAGUUACAAUGUAACAGUUUGUUGAGUUAAGAUUUAAUUAAUUGAUCAAUUCCAUGAUUUAGUUUUUGUAAUUUAUAAUUAAAUUCAAAAUAUAUUUUAAGAUUGUAAUUGUCAAUUAAAUUUAGGUUAUAAUAAGAAAUUAAAAUAGGAAUUUAAUACAUGAUUAAUGAGAAUGCAAUUACACUUUUGAAUUUUAAUUAAAAAAAUCAAUUUAAAGAAUUAAUGAGCGGUGGUUAUGCUUUCAGUUGAAUACUAAAAGUGCUCCAUGAGAAAUUACAUGCAGCAAUUAAAGAAUUUUUUUUGGUCAAAUUUGAGGAUAAAAAUGCCCCUCAUAAAAUCCUAUAAAUUGGCACCUUGUCUUCUUCACUUAUAGAGAAUAUAGAUGUGAGGAAAAUGAUGAGAAUAGAAUAGGGAAUAUAGAUACAAAAAUAAGGGUAGAUAAUCUUCAAUUCCUCUAUUGUCACAUUUGUAUUUUGAUAGAGUUUGAACACAAUGGAAAUUCACCAUAAAUAGAAUGGUUGUGUGACAUAGUUAUUUGAUCUGUUGUAUCUUGGUAGAUAGACCCCAUAAAAAUCCUAAAGAGCCACGGUAGGGGGCAUAAUUGUCUUAAGGAGACUGUGGUAUACACAGGCGGCAGGCCUCAAGUCUUUUCCUUACCUUUCUCCUUGAUUUUAUUAUUAUUUUGUAAUAAUUUUAUAUUUUGUAUCAGCUAUAUGCUUAAUUGUUCUCAUGUGUAUUUGUAGUUGCUUGAUCUGCAAUUUGUAUUUCGAACAUUUUCCUCAUAUUAUUGUGAUUUUUCUCAACAUCAGUGCCUAUCUUCUUCACCAUCAGCCUACACCUCUACCAACAUCUGAUAAGUUUAAAUAUUGGAUUUUGUUAAGUUUUAUUAACAAGUGAUGAGUUUUAUUGUUAUUAGUGAUAUUGAUUUUAAUUUUGUGUGAGAAUCUAAGGGUGUGUUCAAUUUUGUUUGUGAAAACAUGUUUUCUUAAAUUAAAAAUAAAAAUGAAAAUGCUACUUUGCAAUUGUUGAAUUUUGGUUUUAGGUGCAUGUCUAGUAUCAUUUUAUGUACCUUGUAUCAUAAAAUGAAAAUUGUAAUAUGUGUUUGGCAGAUAUAAUUGAAAAUGAUAAAAACAGUAAGUUUGUAUGUGAUAGUACUAUUUUCAAAAAUAUUAUUUUACUAAACAUUUAAGUCAGACCUGUUAAGUCCAUUAUUUAUAGAGUUGGCAUCUUAUGGCAAGUCUAGUUAAAUUGGAAUUUUAGUUAUUGCAUAUCUUGUAAUAGAGAUUAAUUUAUUAAUUCCCUAAUUUAGUGAGAUUCUAAUUUAUUAGGAAUAUUUGUUUCCUAAUUUAAUUCGAUGUCUAAUUUAGCAAGUCAAUAAAUAAUGAGAUUCUAUAAUUGGCGCAUGAAAUCUAUUUAGAACAAGAACUUGGUUUAGACAUGAAAUUUAUUAAAUGCUCUAAAUAUUUCUUGGGAGACAAGUAAGGUAAGAAGAUUAGAUUUAUUCUUAUUCAAAUUCGUAGGAAUUAUAAGAGAAAAGAAAUUUUUAUUUGAAAAGAAUCCAAAUCUUUUAAGACUUGCUAUUUUUAUGAAACCCUAGUGCUUAUAUAAAGAGAGAUAUUUCACAAUUGAGGUAUUUUUGUGAAACCCUUAAUGAUCGUGGAUCAAGAAGGGUAGCGAUUAUUCAAGAGAAGCAGAUUCAGUCUAAGGUUGAGUAAACUGUAUGGUGAUAAAUUGUAAGUGAGGGUCUUAAGUUUAGUAAAUCCAUAGAUUGUAAUAUCUCAACUUAGUGAAUUGCUUUUCAUCUGGGUAUGGUCUCGUGGAUGUAGGAUUGAUUAAUUUGAACAACGUAAAAAUCACCGUGUCAUUUAUUUUUUGCAACUUAUUGUGUUUUUGGAAAAUUAAUAAUUUUUUAUGCGGAUGAACAAUAACAAUAAACAAUAUUUUUGAAAAUUAAUUAAGUUGUUAAUUCUACAAAAUCUAGCUAGCCUUCUAUAACAUAACAUCACUAUGGAACCAUCCUUGAACCUUUAAUCAUUUGUAAGCUUCUGUAAAUUAUACUUAAAUAAUUGAGAAUUAUUUCGAAGUAUUUGACUUAAAACAAUUUAAUAAAGGUUUUCAUUUUAAAGACAAUUUAUAACACAAGUAUUUAAUAAAUAAAUUUUAUUAUAAAUAAUUUUAAAGAAUGAUUUUACUUAACAAAAUAUUAAAAUAGACUUAAACAAAUCAGUUUUAAAUAUUUUUCAUUCAACGUAAUACAUACCUCAAAUUAAAAGUAAUUUAAUAGUGAAAUACAUGUACCAUGCAUAAAUCUACUUACUCCGAUCCUUAACAACAAAAAGAAUGGUAACCUCAACCACGAGCUCACUUUAGUCCUAAAACAUCAAGGCACAUUCUUAUCAAUAUUAUUGCUCAUUCUGACCUUGAUAUAAAUCCAACAAAAUCAAGCUUAGUAAUAAGCACUAAACCAUCAAAGCUAGUCUAAACCUGACCAUCCUAUACAAGCUGAUUUUUACCAAACUAAUCAUAUGUAGGAAAAGUAUAAAAAAAUUAAAUAAAACCAUAAAAAUGUGUAGCAUUUCAUAUGAAAAUUCAAAAAAUGAAUAAAAGUCAGAAAUAUCUUGCAAAAAGAAUUUUGCAUUCAAAUAUCCACACUGUCUAGCAAUGUUAAAAACAGAGAUAGAUGAAUUAGAAAAUUCGUAAAAUAUUUAAUAAAACUCAAAAAAUUUACACCACUUGAAUAAUAGAAACAUCAGAAAACAAUAUAUCAAAUUUCUAAAAUUUUUGAAGAUGUAAAACUAUUUUAAACGAAUUUAUAUUGAGAGACUAGCAAACCUGUCCAGAAACUUUCAAGUUUGUGUUUUGCAUUUCAAAAAUUCACAACUUAAUAUUAACUCAAUAAAAAUUACUCAAAUAAACUUUAAAUGAUAUAGAACUCAUAAUAUUAUAGGAAUAUAAUUUUUAUAGGUCAUUCUAAAGCCUUUUACCAACCUAAAAUAAUUUUAUCAUUAGCCAUCGCAAUUCUAAAAAGCAGUCUCUAGAAUUGCAGCAGCCCAACAUAACAAUUUUUAUUAACUUCUAUACUCAACCAAAAAUUAUGAAAUUAAACAUACAGUAAUUAAACAUAAUGAGUAUUAGAGAAGAAAAUCAAAAUAAUUUUCAGAGAUCAUUUGGAUAGUCAGAAAAAUUAGCAAAGUCAGACAUGCUGCUGAAAAUCAGAAUUUUCCAGCACCACUGUUCCAAAUUAAAAAAUUCAUAACAAAUUGGUAACAUGGGAUCUCUUUGCACAAAAUACAUCAUUGAAAACCUUAGGAUGUCUAAUUUUAUGGAAAGUUUCGUGCAGAAAUCAAAUAAAAAAUAAAGGAAAAGAACAAUAAUCAGAACACACUGCUCAUGCCUCAUAAUGCCUUGCUAGUCAUUCAUGAUAAAGAGAACAAUGCAUGCAUUCAUUAUCAAACACAUAAGAUCGUAUUAUAGAGCAUGUAUUAAAGAAGGAUAAAUACCUCAACAUUUCUUUCAAACGUGCAUGAAAGAAAACCCUAGAAUUCUUUGCUUUUAUACGUUUAUUUAAUUAAAGAGUUUUAAAUCGUGGGGAGAUAAGAGGAGUUUAAGUUUUAUAAAAACACUUGCUUUUAUAUAUAUAUAUAUAUAUACACACACACACAUAUAUAUAUACGCACGAUAAAGAUAGAUAAUCCCUUAUAAAUUUUUUUAAAAAAGUAAAUAAAAAGAAUAUAUGUUAUCUCAAUAAUGCUAAUUAAAAUAAAUUCACACAAACAAAAGAUCAUAUUAAAUUCAAACAAAUAAAGAACCUGUGUUACAAAGAAUUUCGGAGAGAUGAUCCCUAUAAAUUGUUUCGGAUAAAGGGAGAUUAUGUUCAAAUAAGAAAAAGUAGAGAAAAGUUAGGAUUGGAAAAUAUGAAGUGAGUAUUUUACAAUUCAUUUUAUAAUUAGUUUUAUAAAAUACUGAAAAUAUGUCUAACUUGUUUUAUAAUUUAUAACGGUAAGGUAAAGUUUGUAUUCUAUGUUUUGUACUUUGUUUUUAUGACACAUGCUACUGAAUGCUUAUUGCACUUGUACUUUACAAGCAAAAAGAAAAACAACUGGCCUAAAAUGAUACCGAACAUUUUCUAAGAUUUUGUUUAAUUUUAAUUUGAGAUUUGAUUAGGAGUUAAUAUUUGGUUCAAAUAUUAAAUCAAAGAGAGAGAGAGAGAGAGAGAGAGAGAGAGAGAGAUUUGAGAGUUGAUCUAUUCAAAACUUGAGAGAGAAGAAAAAAAUAUUUAUUUUUUAAUUCUUUUUUAUUUUUCAAUAAGUUAAUAAUGGAAUAAAUAGUAUUAAUUAAAAAAAAAUAACUGAUGAGAUAAAUUGAAGAAGUCAAAUAUCACCACUAUUUAUAUGUAGGGAUAGCAAAUGGACUGUGAUUGGCCUGAUCAUGCAUUUUUAGGCUAGGUUCUUUUAAAAUCAAAAUUUAAAGAAAAAAUAUUAAUAUUGAAUUUAGCUAUUCAAGAAAAUGUACUUAAAUAACUCAUCAUACGUCAUAAUGGGUUCGAAUACGAUUUUUUAUUUUUUAUUUUUUAAGUAACAAUCUAGAGUAAUUUUCUAUUUCUCCCUCAAGUGUUCCUCAUUCAUGGUGUGCAUCUUUCUUUACACGUUAAUAAAACAAAUUCAGACCAAAUCAGAGGAAAGAGAGAUCUUCUGGUCUCUCUCCAAUGGUCACCCACCGUCUUUUGUUGACUUACAGCCCGUAUAUAUUUUUGACUUAAUAACUUAAUUAACUUAUUUUUAAACAGUUAAGUUAUUCACUUGUUCAUUUUUUUAACUUAAUGAAAAUUUUCAGUUAUUAAGUCAUUAAAUUAUUAAGCUCAUUUUUUUUUUUAAAUUUUUUUGCUUAAUCUAAAGAGUCUAAAUGAUAUCAUGAAAAAAAUGUUCUCCAAGAUAUCCUUAUCUAAUUAAUUAAUUUUCAUUCUAACCUAAAUAAAAAUUAAUAAUUAGCAUUAUUACCUAUCUCUAUAACUUGUGAUAAUAUAGUAAUAGACUAUUAUUAUUAUUAUCUUUCUAUUCUCUUCAAAUUAGUUUUAUUUAUCUAAAUAAUUUUUUAUGAAUAUUUUUAAUAUAAAAACAUCAUAAAUUACAAUAAAAUUGAUUAACACAUACUAAUUAAGAAUGUUAAAGGAUUGUAUUCAAUUGAAUAUGAUUUAUGUUAUGAUAAUAUAUUGUUUUAUUUAUGUUCUUUGAAAUAUUUAUUAUUUGUUUCACGUUUAUAAUUUGUAAGAGUAGAAAUGUAAAAAUAUUAGUUUUCAAAAUUUUUUAAGUUAAAAAAAAACUUAAUACUUAUUUUUAGCGAUUUGCAUUAAAAAAACAACAAUAUCAUUCAGAUUCAAACAUUCAAUUCUAUUCAGAAUUCAUACUAAUUAAUUUUGGUUUAUUUAGACUUCAGAUAAAAAAACAAAUGCCAUUUUAGUUUUUCUCCUUUCCUUUUUAGUAUAGCUGAUUUUAUCCAUAAAUCUAUAUCUUGUUAAGAAAUAUUGUUUUUAUUUGUGCCUAUCUCAAUAAUAUUGCAGAGCUAAUUUUACCUAAUCUAUAGGAGAAUUUAGUUGAAAGUGUAGUGGCCUAGCUCAUGUUAUUGCCUAAAGAAUAAUACAAAGUAAAGAAGAUGUUAGAGUUGGUUCGUCUAUACAUUUCCUGACCCAUAAAACCAUUUUCUAAUAGUGAUUAUGAUGCCAUUACAUUUAGAAAAGGCGUCAAAGAUGAAAAGUGGCAAAAUCCAUAAAUGAAAAAAAUCAUUAGAGAAAAAUAACAAAUGAGAGUUGUCGCAUAUCCUAAGGCGCAAACAAUCAUUGGUGCGAAAUAUUAGAAAAAUAACAUAAAAUGGCUAAUUUAAGGCUAGUUUUGAUAUUGAGGAAAUAUACUUAUAUAGUUUAUUCAUAAUCUCCUUUGCGAGUUCUUCGUAAUGAAUCAUAAAACACUCAAAUUGCUGCUUCUAUAAAUGAAAAAAUAGAUCUUAAAGAGCACCCACUGGUUUAAAAAAAUGAAGGAAAAUUCCAUUUAAAUUUAUAUAGCUCUAGAAUUUAACCGAAAUGAAAUUAAAUAUGAAAUGAGUAACAACAAUAUCAAUAAAAUGUUGUAAUAAUUAUUGCUAUAGAAAAUGGAAAAGGCUGUUAAAGAUUAAUAUAGUUGUUCUUUAAGGGAAAUAUAACUUAAAUAGACACUUAUAUAACCUAAGCAUCACUGAUAAGGUAGAGAAUUUGUUUUAAGGACAGUAUAACUUUAUAGGCCUGAGGUGUAUACAAUUUUUUUUUUGCUAAUUAUAUAUUAUUGUGAUUUAUAAUAUAAUAAAGUUAUUUCAAUUUUAUUAUUAUAAACUUGUGACAAGGGUGUAAAUGGGUUAUUGGUAAGUUUCAGUACUCUAUGAAUGUUCUGUCAUAAAGGCCAUAUUUUACCUAAGGAAUUUGGGUUUUAAAGAGGACCAUUUAUGACCCUUGUAAUCUUUCCUAAAAACCUAAUUGGUUUAUUUUUUAAUAUAAUAUGGGCUAUCUUAUAUCUCUUACCAUUAGUGGAAUUUGCAACAAUUUUAAUACUGAUUUUUGAAAUAUUGAAAUGGUAAUUGAUAAGAGCUAGCAAGCUAAAAGUUCUUAGAUGACUCUUGUUGUCUCAACGUUGCUAUUGCCUCUAUGGUUUUUCCAGCCAAUCACAGAAAAACCAGAGAAAUUCAUUAGGCAAAAUUUCAAAUUGUGGCAAUAGAAAAUGUUCUUGUUAUGAUUCUAUCAACGUAUUGAACUUGAAAGAACAAAUUAAAGAAAUGAAUCAAGAGAGAAGCAUAAGAAAACUUAAGCAAAACACAGUUUCAAGUACACAACUUGAUGAAGGAAAAAGCUGCUCUUUUAUUGAUCUCAAUAAUCGAAAUACAAGCUAAUCACCAAGAAGGAAUUACAAGGAUCACUAAGAACCAAAUAGCUAGCAAAAUGACCAAGAAAUGAAGAAGAUAUCGAUUUGAUAUCAAAGGCUUGACAAACGUGCUUUUUAUUCUGGUAUUUCUGGAAAAGCUAUAACGAACCCUUUAACAAAUUCUGCCACGUCAGUUUUUAUUUUCAACCAGACCCCUCUAGCUGAAGUCGAAUUGCACUCUGCCCCAUAAUUUCUUCAAGUCUUGCAUUUAAACCCAACGAACCAGCAACUUAUUUCCUCACAUUCUCCACCUUGCACUCGAUUCAGUUGAUCAUCUCAAUUAAGAAACAUAAAAAAAACCUUCAAAACACACAGUUUAGGAACUAGAGCUGCCGCCGACACCAAUUAAGUCUACACAGAACUUAAAUUUGGUUGUUGGCAGCACUUUGGUUAACAUAUUAGCAGGGUUGGUAUCUGUAUGUAUCUUGAUAACUGCAAAUGACCCUUUUGUAACCUCAUCUCUGAUAAAGUGCAACUUCACAUCAAUGUGCUUUGUUCUCUCAUGAUAAACCUGGUUUUUGAUGAGCUGAAUGGCACUCUGAUUGUCACAAAAAAUUUCCACAAUUCUUUGUUUUAACCAAAGUUCAUUUAGCAACCCUUUCAACCACAUUGAUUCUUUCACUGCCUUUGUUGCAGCAACAAAUUCUGCCUCAGUAGAUGACAAAGCUACUAUGUGCUGUAGAGUAGCUUUCCAACUUAUGAGAUAGUUAUCCAACAUAAACAGAUAUCCUGAGAUAGAUUUUCUUAUGUUCUCAAGUCACCUGCAAAAUCAGAGUCAACAUACCCUCUGACUUCACAGACCUCAUGCUUGGAUUUACCAUACAUCAGACCAUGAUCUAAGGUGCCCUUCAAGUACCUCAUGACCCAUUUCACAGCAUCCCAGUGAAGCUUACCAGGGUUACUCAUAAAUCUGCUCACAACAUUUACUGCAUAAGCUAUGUCUGCUCUGGUGCAAACCAUUGCAUACAUCAAGCUUCCUACAACCUGUGAGUAUGGUAUAUCAGCCAUCUGUACCUCCUCAGCAUCUGAUGUUGGAGACAUGUAAUCAGAGAGUUUGAAUUGAGCUCCCAGAGGUGUCAGUACUGGUUUUGAGUCCAUCAUCUGAAAUCUUUCCAGCACUUUGCUGGUAUACCUUGAUUGACUUAGAAAUAAGGUACCAGCAGCUAUAUCUCUAACAAUGUCUAUACCAAGAAUCCUCUUGGCAUUGCCAAGAUCUUUCAUUUCAAAUUCCCCAUUCAGCAGAUUCUUGAGCUUUUCAAUAUCACUAAGAUUUUUACCAGCAAUGAGUAUGUCAUCAACAUACAAUAGGAGAUACACAGCUCCACCUGAGUUUAUAAUCUCAUGAUAGACACAACUAUCAUAUUUGCUCCUAUGAUAGCCAUUGGAGAUCAUAAACUGGUCAAAUCUCCUAUAUUAUUGCCUAUGAGACUAUUUCAAGCCAUAUAGGGACUUCUGUAGAAGACACACAUAAUCCUCAUCUCUAGUUAACUGAUAUUGUUGUAAGUCAAUUGUUUGUGGUACUUCACCUUUUGUUACUUCUGCAUCUUGAGAUUCAGCUUUAACAACUUCUGGUUGUAUUUCAUCUUCAUAGGCUUUAGACAACUCCACCUCAAUCUUUUCACCUUGAUCAAUUUCUGCAGUGGCUUAUGUGUCACUUGUACUAAUGUCAGUAGCAGAAGUGACUUGAUCAGGGUUAUUGAUCAUAGCCACUUCAUUAAAUUGGACAUCUGUACUGAUCAGACACUUGUUUGCCUCUCUGCACCAGACCUUGUAGCCUUUGACCCCAUCUGGAUAACCAACAAAUACUCCUUUUAUAGCUCUUGCAUCAAGCUUCCCUUGUCUGACAUGGACAUAAGCAAGGCAUCCAAAUACCCUAAGGUGUUCAUAUAUUCCAGGUUUUCCAGACCAGAGUUCUUCAGGAGUUUUGAAACUAAUUGUAGCAGAUGGACUUUUGUUCACCAUGUAACUAGCUGUAGAAAUAGCUUCUGCCCAAAAACUCCUAGGAAGCUUAGAGUUUAUUAACAAACAUCUUGUCUUGUCAACAAGUGUUCUAUUCAUCCUCUCAGCUAAACCAUUUUGCUAAGGGGUGAAUCUCACUAUUUUGUGCCUCCUAAUUCCCUAUUUCUGGCAGCAUUGCUCAAACUCUUUAUUACAGAAUUCAAGCCCAUUAUCUGUUCUUAAGCAUUUUACCUUAAAAUCAGAUUGAGUCUUCACCAAAGUCUUCUAAAUCUUGAACUUCUCCAAGGCUUGGUCUUUGGUCUUCAAUAUGUAUAUCCAUACUUUCUUGGAGUAGUCAUUUAUGACUGACAUAAAGUAUCUUCCCCCACUUAAGGAUGGCACUUGUGCAGGCCCCCACAAAUCAGCAUGCACAUAGUCUAAAGGUUGCUUAGAUAUAUGCAUGCCCUUUGGGAAUUUGGACCUGUGUGCUUUGCCAAAGAUGCAAUUUUCAGAAAAAUCUAACUCAUCUAUUCUAUCACCAGACAACAACCCUUGUUUACUCAGCGCUUGCAUUCCCCUAAUACUCAUAUGGCCUAGUUUGAGGUGCCAUAACAUGGUUCUAUCAACAUCAGAGACAACAAGCAUUGCAGCUGACACAGGUACUGAUGACCCUUCUAACACAUAUAGGCCAUUUUUAUUUACUCCUUUCAUUAUCAUCUCAGUCCCCUUCAUAAUCUUUAAACCACCAUAUUCAGAUUUAAAGCAAUAUCCCAUACUAUCCAACAUGCCUAAAGAGAUCAGGUUCCUCUUAAGCCUAGGUGCAUGCCUUACAUCACAUAGAGUUUUAACAGACCCAUCAAACAUCUCUAUUUUGACAGACCCCAUACCAAUAAUUUUACACACAUUGUUGUUACCCAUCAACACUCUACCACCAUCCACAGAUUCAUAUGUAUAGAAAAGGCUUUUAUCAGGACACAAAUGAAAUGAACAGCCUGAAUCAAGAACCCACUGACCUUUGAUAUUGAUGUUUGAAGCCACCAAUAAAUCAGCACUAUGGUAUCCAUCAUCAGAGGAGUCAUCUGAGGCCACUGCUGCAUCCCCUGUUCUUUCUUUUUCAUCAUUCUUUUUCUCAGUACAAUCUCUGAUGUAGUGACCUUAUUUUUUACAGUAGAAACACUUUCUUUUCUUCAUUUUUUCUUUUGCAGAUGCAUCAUCCUUUUUAACUUGAUUCUUGUUCUUGUUCUUCUGAUUUUUCUUAUCUGUUCUGGCAAAUAAACCUUCACUAUUACUAUCUUCAUGCCCAUUAUUCUUCUGAAUUUCCUUAGAGCUCAAGGAGGCUUUCACAUCUUCUAGAGUUAGAGUGGUUCUCCCAUACAGCAUGGUGUCCACAAACCCUUCAUAGAUCUUAGGCAAUAAACUCAGUAAAAAUAAAGCUUUAUCCUCAUCCGUGAUUUUUACAUUUUCAAUUCCUUCAAGAUCAAUAAUGAACUUGUUGAAAUUGUCAAUGUGUUCUUAAAUCGAGACCCCUUCUCUCAUAGAAAAGGUGUAUAAUCUUUUCUUCAAGAACAAUCGAUGUGCCAAGGAUUUUUUCAUACACAAAGCCUCCACCUUGUUCCAGAUACCAAUGGCAGUCUUCUCUUCAGAAAUCUCCCUUAAAAUUGAGUCACUGAGACUCAAGAUCAGGCUACUAUGAGCCUUGUUCUGUAUCUGUCUUUUCUUCUCAUCAGAGACUGAGCUUGAAACACCUCCAAGAUCACUUCUUCCAGGGCUGAUUCGAGACCCUGAUGAACAAGGAGAGCUCUCAUUUUCAUCUUCUAGAGUGAAAAGUCACCACCAAUGGUGAACUUUUCAAUAUUGGGCUUUGGAAGAGACAUGUUCUUGAACCACCAAAGGCUCUGAUACCAGUUGUUAUGAUUCUAUCAACGUAUUGAACUUGAAAGAACAAAUUAAAGAAAUGAAUUAAGAGAGAAGCAUAAGAAAACUUAAGCAGAAUACAGUUUCAAGUACACAACUUGAUGAAGGAAAAAACUGCUCUUUUAUUGAUCUCAAUAAUCGAAAUACAAGCUAAUCACCAAGAAGGAAUUGCAAGGAUCACUAAGAACCAAAUAGCUAGCAAAAUGACCAAGAAAUGAAGAAGAUAUCGAUCUGAUAUCAGAGGCUUGACAAACGUGCUUUUUAUUCUGGUAUUUCUGGAAAAGCUAUAACGAACCCUUUAACGAAUUCUGCCACGUCAGCUUUUAUUUUGAACCAGACCCCUCUAGCUGAAGUCGAACUGCACUCUACCCCAGAACUUCUUCAAGUCUUGCAUUUAAACCCAACGAACCAGCAACUUAUUUCCUCACAGUUCUUUUACUUGAUCAUUUUGAAUCUUGCAAGAUUCUUAAUAAAGGGCGACACUGAUAUUCAAGUGAUCAAUGGAAUCAAUGCUUGGAAUCAUUCUGAUUUCCUUCGUAGGAAUUAUGCAUUAAAUGGCUUGAGUGAUUCUUUAUACAAUAUAUAUACUGAAAAUAAAAAGGCUAAGGAGCAAUGGAAGUAAUUAGACCAAAAAUAUAAAAGAAAGGACAAUGACACUAAGAAAUUUGUCAUAGGCCACUUUUUAGAUUAUAUGAUGGUGGAACAAGAAAUUUGUCAUAGGCCACUUUUUAGAUUAUAUGAUGGUGGAACCUAUAAUUGUCUUGAGUCAAAUUCAAGAAUUGCACAUAAUUCUGUUAGAAAUUCAUGCCGAGAGCGUGGAUUUGAGAAAAUUUUUAAGUGGCUUGCUAUCAUUGAAAAGUUUCCUCUUGUAUAGAAAGAUUUCAAGAUUUAUCUUAAGCACAAGAGAAGGAAAUGAAUCUUGAGCACCUAGGUUCUAAAACUUUGAAUUUAAUAAGACAACAAAAAUAAUCAUAAGAAAGUUGUCAUUGUUGUGGCUAAGGCUAAUAUUAUGCAACAUUGUUAGAGCAACAAGAAUAACCUUGGUCUAAAAGGUGUCUCCAAAAAGCAAACCAAGUUUCAAAGGAAAUGCUUCAAUUGUGAUAAAAGGGCCACAAGGCUUUAGAAUGCAAAUUGCUGAAGAAGAAAUGAAACCAAGAAGCUAAUGUGGUAGAGAACAUGGCUCAAGAGUCAAGAUGUUUAUGACAUUAAUCUUUCUACAACGAUUUAUAAAGUGAAUCUGAUGAGCUUAAAUCUAAGAGAAUGAUGGACUGAUAUAGGUACCACUUGAUACAUAUGCUCAGUAAAUAAAAAAAAAAGUUUAUUUCUUUUGAACUAAAUAGAAAAGGGAAAAAGCUAUAUAUAAGGAAUUUAGUAAUGUUUGAUACAUAGGGUCAAGUAAAGAUAAUUUUAGAGAUGACCUUUGAGAAAAAGCUAACUCUAAAUAAUGUUCUAUACAUGCAAAUUUGCAAUAAUCUUAUGUUUGGAUCGCUUUUGAACAAUCAUGGGUUUUAGAUGGUUUUUAAAUCUAGUAAAAUAGUUUUGUCUAAGGAUGGAAUGUAUGUGGGAAAAGGAUAUGUUUCAAUGGGCUAUUUAAGCUUAUUAUAAUGAUUGUGAAACAAAAUAAUAGUAAAUCAAUUUCUUAUUUUGUUAAGUCUUCUAAUCUGUGGCAUGGUAGAUUAAGACACAUUAAUUAUAAUUUCAUGCAUAAAUUAAUUAAUAUAAAUUAUACACCCUCUUUCCAAAUUGAUAUAAGACAUAAGUGUGAAUCUUGUGUUGCGACAAAACUAAUAAAGUCAUUAUUUCAAAUAAUUGAAAAGAACAUUGAACCAUUUGGUAUAUAAUACAUAAUAAUAUAUAUGAUUUUAAAUCCAUUCAAUUAAGAGGUGGUAAUAAGAAGAAUUCUUUUUCCGUGCCAAGUAUUAUUUUUGGGAGGAUCCAUUUUUAUAUAAGCAUUGCUUAGACUAGAUUAUUCGGCAAUGUUUGCUAGAAGAGGAGAUGUCAAUAAUUUUACAGCUUUGUUAUUCAUCAAAAUAUGGUAGGCACUUUGGUGCAACCAAAGCUGUGACAUAAGUACUUCAAUCCCAUUUUUAAUUGUCCACAUUAUUUAAAAAUGCUUACGCUUUUGUUGCUACUUGUGACCUGUGUAGAAGAACUAAUAAUAUUUCAUGAAAGAAUAAAUGUUAUUAAAUAAUAUUCUUAAAGUAGAAUUGUUUGAUGUUUAAGGAAUUGAUUUAAGUCCGUUUUCAUCUUUCUCUUAGAAUAAAAAUAUUUUAAUGGUUGUUGAUUAUGUUUCCAACUUGGUAGAGGCUUGUGCUUUGUCUUCCAACGAUGCUAGGGUUGUUGUUAAUUCUCUGAGAAAAAAUAUUGUUUCCUGGUUUGGCACUCCGUGAUCAAUUACCAGUAAUAGUGGGAAGCACUUUUACAAAUAAUAGUGUGAAGCACUUUUACAAAUAAUAGUGUCACGUGUAGAGUUGCCACUCUUUACCAUCUCAAACUAGUAGCCAAGUUGAAGUCUCUAAUCGAGAGUUGAAGAGAAUUGUGGAGAAAAUAGUAAAUAUAUCACGAAAGAAUUAUUCUAAGAAGUUAGGUGAUGUGCUUUGGGUACACCAUAAUAUCUUCAAAACACCUAUUUUUACAUCUUCUUAUUGUCUAGUUUUUAGAAAUGCAUGCCAUCUACCUGGUGAACUUAAGUAUAAGGCAUUUUGGAUUAUAAAGAUUUUAAACCCUAGCAUGCAAGCAGUAGGAGAGAAAAGGUUGUUGCAAUUAAAUGAGAUGGAUGAAUUCUACAAGGACACUUAUGAGCAUGCCCGAAUUUAUAAAGAGCAUUCCAAGAAUUAGCUUGAAAAACAGGUAUUGAGACGUGAAUUUAAGGUUGGGAAAGUUGUACUCUAUAAUUCUCAAAUUAGAUUUUUCCCUAGCAAGUUUGAGAUCCCGUUGGUCAGUAUUUCCAUAUGUCAUGAUAAAAGUUUCUCAUGUCACAAUAAGAACAUUUAAGAUGAGUGGUCAAUGAUUGAAGCUCUAUUUAGUUGGUACAAUUGACACAACCAUUAAACUCCUCAAUUCUGAAUGAUCAUCAGAGACUAUCAAGAUAAUGAUUAUAAAUUAAAUGCUUUUUAGAAGCAACCUAAGCUUUCUAAGUUUUAUUUUUAAUUCAUUUGAUCUUUUUCAUUUUUCUUGUCUUAUAUUUUCUCAAUCUUGUCUUUUAUUUGUUUGGCCUAGGUUUUUGCAUAAGUUAAGAAGUUCUCACUAUGGAUUUUCACAUGUCUUUUAACAACUUUAUUAUUAGUCUACAUCUUCGCGUACAAAACCUAAGGAGUUUCUCUUUUUUUUUUUUUCUUUCCAUUUACAUUGCGGAUAAUGUUCAUUUCAAAUUAGGGGGUGGAGUAUUUGCUUUCAUUCAAUGUUUAUUCAUUAAAAAGAUUUUAAAGAAAGUUGUUUUAUUUUCAUUUUAUGUGCUUUUAUCUUCGUACUCUUAUCUAAAAAAGCUAAAUUAAAAGCAUUAAUAGCUCCUUGAGACUGAGCAUGCCCACUAGAAAUCUCAUAGAGGAAUUGCCAACAUUAAAAUCUCCUCUAACAAUCCAAAGACUAUCACGAAUUUCAGCAAAAGCCAUAAGGUCAUCUCAGAAAUCUUUCCAUAUAAGAAUAGGGCAACUUUCAUAAACAUAAGAUAUAAAAAUAAGUUCAGGAAAAAAAGAAUGGAUAGCCCAACAAUGUAAUACGUAAUGUAUAUCUUAAAUAUCUCUACAGAGAGUAUAGAACACCAAAACACCCAAAUCUUUCCAGACUGAGAAGAAAUAACAUGAACUAUCCCAAGAUGAAUACAAGUAGACUCUAGCCUAUCAACCUCAAGAAAAAGCUCUAAAAUACAAAUCAAGGAUGAGUGAUGCAUCCGAAUUAAUUUUCGUAAUCUAUGAAUAGCAAUGGCUUUACUGAUGCCUCUAAUGUUCCAUAUAAGCAUAUUAAUCAUUGGUAGUGGGCAAUGGGUUACAACCCACCGAUAAGUAGGAUGAUAAUUUUAGCUCGUAACAAAAACAAAAUCAUGAGAUGAACUAGCAACCAUUUGGCCAUCCAUAUAAUCAAUCACUACAUAAAAAAAGGCCAGGGAUUCAAUCAUCUUAGAAUCAGACAAAAACACUACAUCCUCCCCAAACUUAUCUCCAUAAGCUUCAUCUGUAUUAAUCUAUAUAAACCCAACUAAUUGUCACCUCCCUCCAAAUGUAAAUCAUAAAUAUCAUACGAUGCGAAUUAAGUGCUAAAUGUAAAUGGGUAGUAUCCUCUAUUGGCACUAUACGAGCAUCCAAGUCAACUAAAACAACAUUACUAUUAACAGUAACAGUAGCUCGAGUUUGGGUAGUCGAGGCAGUCCUUAUAUCCUAAGCGACAUAAACAAAAGCACUAAUAUCCAGCGAAACCUCACCAAUAACCAUAGGCCCCCAAUGGUCGGAUCUCCUUAGUAGGUUUAGGCUGUAAAGCAGAUCGAAAAUAUUGUCCCUAAACCAAGUGGUUCGCACUUUAGGCCACUAAAGUGAAUUAUCUGCAAUAAAAAUAUAGUAAGGAAUAGGGUCACCCUAUGUUGAAUAGCACAUCAGAUGCAAGCCUUUUACUAUUAUCCCUGAGCACUCUACCAGUUUAUUGAUAGUCUUCUAGGCCAUAUGCGGCCCAAGAUUAGUCACAUAGCAAGCAUUAGAAGAGUGGCCAAGGCGCUUGUAGAAACUAUAAUAAAAGGGUACCCGCUUAAAAAUAACAUCCUGCCAAAAGUCAGAGUCAUCUUUUCCUUUCCAAAGAUGCAAUAAUAAAGGAUCUGAAACUUCAUAUUCAACCAAAACCCCAGCAACAUAUGGCCUAUUAAUAAAGGUUGUAGCGUGAUCUACAAGCAAUAGCUUACCAACAAUAUGUAGAUAUGAAAAAAAAAUCCAAACCAGCACAAUCCGGGAUUCUUUGGUAUAUCAAAAAUUAGUUGUCUAUUUAAAAAUAUGCAUGCUCUACUAUUACAUACCAGGAUUGCUGAAUCUAAGUUCUUGAAUAAUCUUCUUGCAUUUUAAGCUUAAUAAUAAUAUUUCUAUUGUCUAAUAAGGAAAUCUGAGGAUUGCCUUUUAACCAAAAAGACAUAAAAACUUACGAAUGACAUUCAUAAAUAGACAGCCAAAUGAGAAUCUAUCAACAAGUGAUAAUUUAUAAUGUUUGGCCGUGGACUAAAUUUUCUCAAUUGAAAAGUGAAUAACAACACCAACUCGAUAGAGCAAAACUGGCACAACAAAGAUCUGAGGAGCUGAAGAGCAAGCGACAAAAUCUAAAAAGGAUUUCGAAGCGCAGUUGGAGGCAUUGAAUGUUGGGAAAAUAUGCUCUUUAAAAGCAUAUGUGUUUAUUUAAUUGUAAUAAACUAUUUUUCUGAUUAAUAAAAUAAAUAAGGUAUUUUAUUCAAAUAUCUUAAUUGUAUUAAUAUUUGUAUUAAAGUCCAUUUAAUCAUAUUAUAUGUAUUUAUGUGAUCACCAUGUGAAUUCACAGAAGACAUAAAUACAAGUUAUCUUAUGAUUAAAUAAAUUUAGUUCGCAGUUGAUAAAUAAAGUUGGGCACUUUAUUUAGGUAUAGACUGUAAUAAAUUCAUUGAAUGAUUUGUCUUAAUCAUGUAUGAAUUUAUUGAUGUAGUACAACUACAUUGAACAGGAUCACAUGUGAGAUUUAAUUAACUUUGUAAUAACUGUCAGACUUAUUAAAUCUCACUGCUGUACGGCCAAGGCGGAUGUACGGUACAGCAGGGGGAACACUAUCUCAGCUACAUUUUUUUAUUUUUUUUUUAACCUUUCAGAGUUGUGAACAUAUAUCAAUAUUAUCUAACCAUGCAAGAUAUUUAUUUUCGCUUAACCCUCUACAAUACUUCAAUUAUUUUACUCCCUUCUUUACGGUUUAAAGUGAUUUAAUUUGUGUUGGAUUGCAUAUGAGACUCAAAAUUUAUCAAAUACUUCUAAAUUCACCAUCACUUUCGAUUUGACAUACUAUAAUUUUAUUUUGACAUCUGUAAAUUCGCUUCACAGUUUCUACCGUAAAAUAGCUUAAACAGAUGCCACAAGCCAGCCUUCCGUUUGUAAGGGGCCUUUUGUUAUUUUACAAGGUGGGUCCCCUAUUGAAAAAGCAAAUAACGUGGGUUUUGUUUUUAAUUAUUUGGAGCCUAGAGUUUUCACUAAAGGGUGAUAUAAAAUGCUUAUUUUUCUCUAAAGAAAUUGAGAAGCCACUUUAUACAGAUCAGAGAAUAAGAUUUUUCUCUCUAUUGUUGAGAGAAAAAUUUUCUCGUGCUAGUUGCUUUGGUAGUGAUAAAGGCGCCCACACGUCAAGUGCAGAUCGAACUUGAGUCAUAACCUGGAAGAUCAUUGGUGACAGUUCGUGAUCUAACAAGCGUGGUGGUGACGGAUCGUGAUCUAACAGGAGUGGUGGUGGUGGAUCGUGAUCUAGGAGCCUAAAUCACUUCAGCGGAAAAAGCCAACUCGGAUUUUCAAGGUACGAUUUAUAGAAUACAAAUUCUUAUAUAUUAUAUGAGAGCGAUCUUCAAAAGAUUUUAUAAAAAAUUUAAAAACCUAAUUUUUCUCUAACAUUGAGAUCAAAGAUGAUACAAGAUUAAGCACAAAGGCAUAUAAAGGCUUGGAAAGGUAUGGUUUUAAGGAUUGAUAGUUGUUGAUUGAUUUUAAGUGAUGGUUGUUAUUGAUCGAUUUCAUAGGUGAUGGGAAUUGAUUGGAUUAGUAAGGUUGUCUAAGUAAGUUUGGUUCCAGCCAGAUGGUGGAAGAACUAUAGUGACAUGCAUUGUCCAUGACGGUGGAUUUAGCAAAUUACAGUUUUAAGAACUAGAGAUGAAUGUGCAACAGUCCUACAAAUCAAUUUGAUGGUUAAGCAAUAGUAAAGAAGUAGUUAGGGGUUAGCUGAUGGUGUAAGAGAACAAUUAAAGGUGGACAAAAUGUGGUGGUUAAGGUUUAGAGAGUGCAGAUUUAGAGAGAUUGGUGCGGUUGUUUAUGUGAUACAACUGUUAGGUGCGUGUUAGGUUCGAUUGUUAAUAAAUUACCACCAACGGAGACUAGCAAGGUACGACAAUAUAGAGCAGGUUUUGGAUUGUUUCAUGCAAUCUAAUGUCUAAGUUUAGAGGCAGUGGUGACUAAUGCAAGGGUUGUUGAUCAAAGCAAAAGGUUUCUAGAAUUCAAGAGCUGUUUCAGUGAUGGUAAAGCACCAUGACCAACAAACAGUGUGGCCAUGGAGAUUGGUCAAGGUGAGGGUUUUAAAUACUUUAUUUGUAAUAUAUUUAUUAAAGGUGGGCACCAGCUCAUGCAAUCCAUUAUAUUUUUUGUAGAUUGGGUUCGAUUGUCAAAAUCACAACCUACAAAACUACAAUAUUCUAUUGAUCUCAUUGUUGUUUUUGCUAUUUUUGCUGUUGUUACUACAAUUUUUUUUUUCUACUACAGUUUUUGCUAUGAAUUAUUAGUGUUUAAUUUGAUUUUUGAGACUUUAAUUUUAGGAUUUGUUUAAGAAUUGUAUGUAACGAUGUUUUGGAUCUGAACUAUAAAUUUAAAUAGAUGUUCUUAUUAGUAUUUUAUAUUAUUUGGUAUAAUCUAUUAAUUUAUUUAUUAACUGCCUUAAUUUCUUAAAUAAGUCGCGUUGGGUUAUGUUUUCUCAAAUCUACACCAUUCGCGGGUUGGAUUGGUUGAGUACCUAUUUGACUCAAAAUGACUUGUGCUCCUAAAUAUUUAUGGAUUGUUUACUCUACCAAGAUUUAAAUUUGCAGUGACCAUAGUUUUUUAGAUCUUAUUUUAUGUUAAUGUAGUACUUGUUUUCUGGAUCUGGUAUCUACAAGUACAAAUCUAGCAAAUAACUAAUUGAAUCAUUUUUUGCAAAAGAUCUAUCACGAUAUUGGUUGAAAGAGCCAAAUUAAACAUAAAAGAUGGAUUGAAAGAGAUUGGAGAUAUUCCUGGAAAAUUUAUAAAGAUAGCUCCAAAACUUUACAAUUUUGCAAAUUUGACACUACAAAACUAUUUUUAUCAUAAUUGGCCAAACAUGGAUUUUUUGGACUAAAUUACCCCUUAUUUGCAAGAACGAAACUCUCCCUUACCAAACCAAAAUUGAUUUUCUUUCUGUCAUCAUCAAUGGCACUAGUGAUGGUGACAAAAGAUGAUGAAUCGAACAUUGAUGGUAAUUAGGGUGACCACAAAGGUGACGACAAAUCAACUUAAUCCACCCAAAUCUAAAACGAAUCCAACAAAUCCAAAUGAGCCUAAACCCUAAGCAUGUUAACUUCAUCAUCUUUUAAUAAUUUGAAUGAGUUUGAACAGAAUUAUUUAUGAUUAUAUGUUGUUAGAGGACAAUAAUGAAAUAAAAAUUGGUUAAAAUGAUGAGUUACAAACUCUUAGUUUUGUGCUUAAUUUGUAUAAAUUAAGUGUGAAAACAAUUUUAAGUAUAUAUUGUGUUGUGUUUGGUGGCUUAGAUAAAAUCUUUUGGUUUAUUUCUUAACUUGAUAAUGAAUUAUGUCAAUGAGCAUCAUAAUCAUAUAUUUUUGAGAGACUAGAAUAUUGAGUAAUAUAACUUAUUAGUUUAACAUCAUUAUGAUACUUUUACGCUGUGUUUACUUUUUGAAGUGAGAGUGAGGAGUGUGAAUUCCUCCCACUCAAAUAUUUACUUCAACAAUUUAAGGAGGGAGUGGGAAUCCCACUCUGUGGGCCCCACCCAUUUUUGGAGUGGAGAGUGGGAGUGGGACUCCCAUGGGGAGAGAUGGGAGUGGGAAUCCACUCCCACCUCUCUCUUUUUUACCCUUUUUUAUUAUU